GAGUUCCAGUGUGACGGAGAAGAAAGUUUUCAGUCAAACGUCAAUGUAACUCACAAGUGAAGGAGGCUAUGUGAGUCAGAUGGAGUAGAGAGUUCCCAGUCAGAUGUAAAUGUAAUUCAGAAGAGGAGGAGGCUAUAUUAUCAGUCAGGUGGAGAGGAGCUCCCUUUCAGACCUAAAUCUACAUAAUCGAGUUAUUUGUUAUAAUUCUUAGGUAAAAUCCUUCUUUUUAUAUUAUAUUAAAACGAUAUUCUAGAAAGUUCAAUCCAUAUAAGAUAAAGUUGCCAGUGGUUUGUUCAGCUUGAUAAUUGUGUUCUGCAAAUGGAUCUUGUGUACUUGUUUUACUCCUGCAACCAUUUAGAUCUUGCCAAUCAGCAUCAUCUACAAUGGCAUACAUUUGAGCUUAUUGCUGGACGUCCUGAUGAUAUUUUAGAGGAUGUGUGAUGAUGCUAUAAAGGAUCAUGGUGGUGGUGGUUCUUUCUCAAGAUGAAAUAAUCUCUUUGGGUCACUUUAUUAUCUCAUAGGAACAGAGAUAAUAAAUCCAACCAGCAUCAUCUACAACCAUUUAGUCUAUAUUUUUCGCUUUUUAGUUGGUACCUUGCCUCAUUGCUAUCAAGAUUUGAUGGUCAUUACAAACCUACCCCUUGCCUUUGUUUACGUUAAUAUUGCAAGUGCAUUGGCUGAUACGCAUAAGAGUUUUCUCAUUUGAUUCAGGAAUAAGAACAACCAGUAUGAUUUUACAAAUUGGCUUAGUUGUGGCAUUUUGGAAAAGUUGAAUUGAAAAUCUAAUACGAUGGUUUGUGACUCUCUUGAAACAGGUACUGUAGAUAAAUUAAUAGGCUUCCCUCAAGUCAAGGAAGAAGAGCAAUUACUGCCUUUGGCCUCUCUUAUUUCCUUCGAACCAGCAAGUCGUGGGAUUCUAGAAAAACUUAUGCAGCACAAUAAAUUAAAGUUCCCAUCUUCUCCUAUUUCUUUGUGUACUCACAAUUUAGUGCAACAACUCCAAAACCUUGAAGAGAUAAACACGAUUAUUGUCUAAAAAUAGAGGAGUUGAUAGGAGAAGGAGAAGAAAAAAAACAUGACAGAUGAAGGGAGCAAGAAGAACAUCACUGCAAUUAUCAAUACACUCCUAAGGUUAAAGAAAUUGUACUAGUCCAAAGUCCAAACAACCAUUUGCCCUCUGCUAUAUCCUUGGAAGAAAUGAAUGGUGGGAAUCAAGGAGUCUUAUGCAGAAGGUAUGUUAAUAGUUAAUACUAAGAAUAUUUUCCUGUCUUCAAGGUUGCUGCAACAGCUCCAAAACCUUGAAUGCGCUUCCAUCUUUUUCAAUUAUUUCUUAUUGUUGGGUGAGAUUCAGUUCUUUUUCCCAGUUAUUUCCUUGAAGUUUCUUUAGUUAAUUAUUUCAAUGCACGCCUCAUUUGGAGCAUUAGAGGCGUAUGCCUCAGUGGUUUAUAGUACUGCCCCACUUCAAGUCGCACCUCAAAAAUGCCUUUUUAUUUAAAUUAUGUUUGUGAUUGAAAGUUAUUUCUGAUCAAGGUUUAAACGCCUUUGUUUUGAAAGGGUUAAGUCAGGCCCUGACAGGAAACGGCGCUGACGAUCAGACCAAAGCUCUAUCUUCUAUGUUUACUUCUGUUAUUUUUAAUUUCUGUUAUAGGACAGGAAACGGCGCUGCUCAUAUCUUGGCAUCCAAAACAGAUAUUAGCUCGCCAGUUUCGUGCUCUUACCUCUAUCCCCCUGACUGGAUUCUGUUACAGUUAAAACACGAUAUGUUAUUCUGUAAUAUGGCUACUGAUUAGCUUUUCUAAUAUAUCUUAUGAUUACUAAAACAAAAAAAAAGUCAGGCCCUGACCUGUAUUCAUUAAAAUCUUAGAUAAACAACUCCUUCUGGAUCCUCCCUUACAAGUUACAAGUUCACUAACAAUGUGAUCCAUGGGAGGGCAAAAGCAAGAUAUAUGAUAAACUCUCCCAACACCUGUAGCAGCUUGGUAGCAAGCUACUUUGUUGGCUUCUUUAUAGUUAUGAGUUUCAAAUACACUUCUUUAUAGUUGAAUGAUUACUUCACUUUUGGCAAAACAUCUUUAUCUAGGGACAUAAGGGAAAAUUUACACCCACAUGGCAACAUCCUAUAUUGAAUAGAUCUUUAAUUUGUCAGACAAAAAUAUACAUGUUUGAAUCCUUUGUGAUAGACUGAAAGCUUUGGUGUUCUCUAGCUCUUGUACAGGUAACUUUUUUGUAAUUCAUAUUUGAAUCAUCUCCUUCCUUUUCUAGCACAUGCCAAAUCAAUCUAACUAAAAUUCUAUGACUUCGACCCUUACAAGAUGAAGCCUCAAUGCUCUGUUGUGGUUGAUAAAUAUGCUUUGCAAAUUGAGUUCUUGUUCUUAUUUCAGUGGUUUAAAAUUUCCUUAAGGGCCCGUUCGGCAAAGGCCCAGAAAUACAUUUCUGAGCUUCUUGAAAGUAAAGAAGUUGUAAGAGCAUUCCCAAUAGUAAAAGGGUUUUAAGGGUGCCACAUAGGAGAGAGAGAAAAGGUUUUAGCAUAAAAUUUAUGUUAAAAGUGAUUAGCACUUUUAGAGUUACCAAUGGUUGGUUUUAAAACAAGGGUUAAAAUUUAAGGUUUCACUUUUCCCAAAAAAAUAUAGUGUACAUUGUAAUGAAAUCUAAUUUUUAAUUAAUAAAAUGGUCCUAUGUGGCACUUUUAACUCCUUGGCAAAUUUGCCAAGGAGAUAAAAGUGUUUUGCUUGAAAAAUGUGUUAAAACCUACUAUUGGCAAGAGUUUUUUACUAAAAGUUGCUAAAAGUGAUUUAAAACCUACCAUUGGGAAUGCUCUAAGUCUGUUCGGAAAAUCUUAAAACAGAUUUAGAAAUGAAUUAAUGAUAAGUUAAGAAAUACAUUUUUUGGUAAGUUUUAAACAUUAGCUUUCUCCUUUCUCCUUUCUCCUUUCUCUUAUCCCGUAGCUACUUUUUAGGAAAUUCAUUCAGAACUUCUACUUGGUUACCGAAGGGGCCCUAAAGGUUGCUUAACAAGUAUUAUUUACUAUUCGAUUAAAUUGCUCAAGUUGCCAGUCUUAAAGCACUUUAAUUGAUGAUAUAGCAGUUUGAACUCUGAAAUUCAUCGAUUUUCAAAUUCUAACAAGCAAAUAUAAAAUUAUAAGCUUAAUGAUCUAAUUUGUGGGAUUCAAUGGUCCCAUAGUUCAUGUUCUAAGCAUGUUGAGCUGAUGCUUUUGUAAAGUUUUCAGAUAUAUUACUUGCCCACCUAGUACCUUUGUUUUUUAGCAUGCUCUUACCACCUAUAUGGAUUUAUACAGAUGAAUCCAAUAGUUGGGAAGCGAUACAAAUGCAAACACUGUUUGGAAGAACGUAUUGUCACUUAGGAGGCAUAGGCAGACUUGAGCAGUGUUUAGAUCUUGUCAAUCAGCAUCACACACAAGGGCGUACGUGUGAACUUAUUGUGAAUGAUCGUAAUCCUGAUGAUGCUUCAGCAGAUGCAAAAUAUGGUCUUGUGUUUGCAAGACCUACCGAAAUUGAAGGACAUUUGGAGGGGUGUGAUAGUUUGCGACUCUAUUCAGAAUAGAAGGGGCUUCUCAACUUACAGGGCAAGAUCAAUCAGCACCACCAGCUCUUCAGUAUAUAUAUCGGAGGAAGCUGAAAAUGGCAGGAUUUUCUGGAGGGGGAUCCUGCUUAUGCUAAAAAUAUAGUUUAAUGAGGUUCUGGUUUAUGCAUCAAAAGCCAGUAUGUACAAACACUAUUCUCAAUGCCCAUAUUAUACACAUUCCAGAAUAUUCAACAUUAUAUCUUCCUGUUCUGUGUUCCGAAUCGAUCUGCUAUCCAGGUUAAAUUGUGCCAGUGUUCGAUAAUUUCCGUGUUUUGACUUAGAGUUCCCUAGUUAAACUGAUAACUGACAUUAAGACAUUGUAUCUAUCCUUUGCGCAGCUGUUUAACCAUGAGGGCGCUUGAUUUGAUUUGUGCACCAUGUGUUACUCCUCGUCAUGCUUGCACGGGUAGCUUGUUUAUGCAGUGAUGUCUGACAAAAAGUUUAUUUACGAAGAGUCCUAUUACGUUCUUAUUCUCUCCUUUUCAACACCUGCCCCUUUCUGCUGACCUCUCACGAUCUCUUUACUUUCAAGGAUCAAUCAUAUGAACUCCUAUUAAGUAAGCAAAAAGUCUAAAAGUCCAAUCAAUUCCUCCUAAGCUUCAGCCAACACUGCUCAUUCUUUGCCCUUUCCUUAUUCCCUCUUUCUUUCCUUGCACACCAACUUAUAACAGGUUUGGGUUUAGACAAACAGAUUCGGUUCAGAUUAUUUAUUUUUUUAUUUCCUAUUUAUAGACUCUCAGUCCUUUAACCUUUCCUAUUCUGAUCUAACCCACUCUAAAAAAUUCUAGUUGAGACCCUUUCUAUAUUUGUAUUAGUAAUAUUAGGAAAUUUAAAUCCAACAUCACUACCAUACACAAAAUAUACAAAGCAAGUAUGACUACUACUAGUAACUACUACAAGAUUACAAGAAGUAAUACAACUAUCACACAAACCAUAUUCACAGAUUAUAUAUCGAGAAACAUUAAGCAUAUGAUAAUUUAGUGUGGGGAAUUACAUUCAUCCCCCUAAAUGAAAAUUUCGUCCUCGAAAUUUAACAUACCUCGCAGAUGGGCAGCCAAGGAUAUUUCUGACGAAUCUCGUCUUCUUGUUCCCAUGAUGCUUCCAUCUUUUGAAUGGUGAUCCCAUAACACCUUAACUAGUGAGAUGGUUCGGUUCCUCAAUACUUGUCGUUUGCGAUCAAUGAUUUUGAUAGGUCGGUCCUCAUAUGUAGCAUCUUCUUGUAAAUUCGAGGCAUCUAGAUCAAUGAUCUUGACAUGUUCGCUGAUAUGGUAUGCUCAUCAUCAUCAUUCUUUGGAUACUUUCUUAACAUAGACACAUGGAAUACAUUGUGAACUUCAGAGAGCUUUUCAUCAGGCAACUCCAAACGAUAUGCAACUGACCCAACUUUUCCGAUUACUUUGAACGACCGAAUGAAUCUGGGAGAAAGCUUACCUUUCUUACCGAAUCGCAUGACUCUCUUUUUAGGCGAGACUUUCAGAAGAGCAAAAUCGCCCACCUGAAAUUCCACAUGUCUUCGGCGAGGAUCAGCAUAACCCUUUUGCUGACUUUGAGCUGUGCGUAUCCUUUGUUGAAUUAAAGCUACCCUUUCAGUGCUUUCACGUACUAAGUAGCUACCCUUUCAGUGCUUUCACGUACUAAGUCUGGUCCCAAUCCCAUAACAGCAGCGUCACCAGUUUCGGCCCAACAUACUGGGGAUCUACAAGGUCUACCAUAUAACGCUUCAUAUGGUGCCAUCCCAAUCGUCGUCAGGUAACUAUUGUUAUAUGCAAACUCAAUAAAUGGUAGCUGAUCAUCCCAACUACCUUUGAAAUCAAGAGCGCAUGCUCUGAGCAUAUCCUCCACUUACAAACUACAACAAAGCCAUAGUUGUUUGAGGUACUGUUAUCUUUUUCAUUUGCCUUCUUCUUCAGUUUGUGUUAUUCAUAGUCAUAAUUUUUUGUUUGGGUUAUGUGGUUUGAAAAUUUUGUAAAUGGUUUAAGAAAAAGAAGGGAUUUUUUUAUUGAUGAAUGGCUUGCGAAAAAGAUUUAAUUUUUAAUUGAUUAAUGUCCUGUGAAAAAAAAGGAUUUUAGAAAUAUAGGAUUGAGAUUCAAGUUUUCUUUGUUGAUAACCAGUAGCAAAAUAACAGGCAGUUGUGGAGGGUUUUUUUUUCUCCCUUUUUCUUUUUCUUUUCAAGAAAUUGGUAAACAAAAAUCUUGAACAAUAAACUCUGUCACUAGCUCGAGCUCAAACAAUAGAGUAACUUUAGGUUUUCUUGUCGGCUCGCUCGGCGUAUUAUUUCUGUACAAUGAAACUAAUAAGCCAUCUUACAUUCUUAAUAGAGAAUGAUUCUCGUCAUUAUUGUCUAUUAGUUUCUUUUGAGGCCAAAAUUGUGUUUCUACUUAAGAAUUAAAACAGUAGACUACCCAUUUUUGAGAGUAACUGAGCAAGCUGUUAGAUUUUUGAACUUGCUUUAUUCUCCCUGCUGUUUCUAUAUCCCUCUGUUUCUAUAGUUUUUCCUUUCUCCCUUCCCGAACGGCCCCUACAUCUGCAAGAGCACAAGUUACACAGGUUGUUAGUACCAUACAAGUUGUAAGUGACUGCAUUGCCUUUGUGAAAACUGUAAAAAUGACUGCACCACUAGACCCUAGGGGUGAACCCAAAGCCAAUGCGGCAAGAAAAUUUUAAUAAGCUAUUUGUAAGUACAUACUAUCUCUUUAUUUCUUCAUUAACAAAUGAUCUUCAUCAAACAAUUUUGUAAUGUACACAGUUAAUAAGCUAUUUGUAAGUACUAUCUCUUUAUUGUCUAAGUGAAACAACAUUUUUAUUUAAUCGAUGACUACCAACACUACAAGAUUUGGCGUGAUUUGUCAACUGACUGCAGUUCCUUAAUUUCUUCAGGCAUCUACAAAGCAAUGAGUAAUAGGACAGAGGUAACAUGAUCUUUUUUAUUAUGUUUAUAAAUUCAAAAAAUAAUUAUCGAUCUCUAUCUUGACCAAUUUAAAUGUAAUUGUAUAGAGUUCGAAGCAGCGUUCUAAAAUGGCAAAGAAAGAAAAAAAAGCGAUUCAAGCUGCUCUUCUUAACGAUCAGCAGGGAUACAUAUCAAUAAAAAAAAAUCAAGUAGGAGAAAUUUUAAUGAGGCUGAAUAUACUGAUGGAGAUGAUAUCCAUCCACAGCACAAGAGAACUAAUGGGUAUCGAAAUGAUAAGGUAUUGUUCUCAAUGAUUCUUUAGCUAAUAUACAUGUUUCAAAUUUGAUUAUUGGCUAACUAAAUUUGAUAAAAUUUUCAUUAUCACUAGUGUGUUACAUUUUUUUUUUUAUAAUGUCGCAGAGUUCAAAAGGGAAAAAGAAGGUAAAGGGAUCAAGGAAUAAACCAGCUUUUGACAAAUAUGCUAGUGAAAAUGAUUGUAAUGAAGAAAACUCUAUUAGUGGAGAUUCCAGCAGUGAGGAAGAACCUAAUGGUAGAAAUUUCAAUGGAAAAAAUCCUAGAGGUGGAAAUUCUAGUGACAGAGAUUCUAGUGAUGAAGAUACUCGCGAUACAGACUCAAGUGAUGAAGAACGACCUAGAGAUGGAGAUUCCAAUGAUGAUCAGAGUCAGGGGUGAGAAACUACAAAUAGUGCUAAUAUAACAGUUGAAUAUUCAAACAAAUCAAACAAUAUGCAGAAAGUAAAUAACACACAGAAAUUUUUAACGUGGUAAAACCCAAUAUGGGAAACGUCCACGGUUGUCCUCACGACAACAAAUAAAUCCACUAGAGGAAAAGAGAUUUACAAACCUAUCAACUACCUGCAAUCACUGCGAGUUGACACUACCGGUUAUCUCUAACACCUUGACUUCACCAGAGUACCUUGAUGUACGCACAAGACACUCGACUUCUUGAUGAACACACAAGAAGACUCAAAGCCGAACUAUGAAACAAGCUUACACCAGAGUUCCUUGAUGAACACACAAGGAUACUCGACUUCUUGAUGAACACACAAGAAGACUCGAAGCUAAAUCACUAUUCAACAAUAAAGAAGAAGAUGAAUAGGGAAGAAGGAAGAAGAAGAUGAAAGGGGAAGAAGAAGAUGAGUUAAAUCACCAAAACAACCUAAAACAAAACCUAAACAAACUCCAAGAAUAGAUGAAUUGGACGGCCAAAGAACUAAAUUGUUCUUUGGUGGAGAAACCCUAUAUAUAGUUAGGGUUGGAAGACACACAAAAUGGGCCGGAAUUGCAGAAAUCCACUUUGGACAUACGUACGUCGAAACAACGUUCGUACGUCUCCACACUGUAAAAGUUCGCUGCCUGCUUGGACGUACGAACGCCCUAACUAGGUACGUACGUCCUGACCAAAACAUGUUUGCUACCUAACAUGACGUACGUACGCCCUAACUAGGUACGUACGUCCUAAACCCAAAACUUACUUUUGACACAAGGACGCGAGGACACAGACUCGGGACGAUGUGCGUACAACUUGGUUUUCCUAACAAUGAACUCAAGGCGAGAUAACCAUGGACAUCCAAUGUCACAAAAUUGAUGUCAAACAAACUUCGUGCCGGUUUCAAUCUCCCCCUUUGACAUUGAUUUUGUGACAAAAACCUAUGACUCUAAUAGCACUUAUAAAACGUGCUUACAAACCCAAACCAUGGCAUUUAUAAAACAUGCCUACAAAAACACUCAUAGUAGAAUACAUACCGAGUCACUAACACAUGAUAUCCAGCUUGAGUAAUACGCUUUAACCAUCAGAGACCGAACGGAAGCAACAAGAAAUUCUGAAACAAUCAAAGAGCCAACAGACGUUCCUCGAGCAACUCCCUCAUACUUCAUGAGCUCCAAAGUUUGACACUCGAGCUCCCCCAUAACUGUAGCAUACUUGAAACAUGACCCAAAACUGUACAACCUCUAAACAUCAACACGUUCACUCCCCCAUACUUGUAGCAUACCUGCAACAUGACCCAAGAAUACACUAACAAAUGAAGAAACGAAUGUUAGUAUUAGAGUCAUAAAUCUCCCCCAUUUUGUCACAAAUGAAGCAAGGUAACAAAAGAAAGAGAAAAGAAAAAAUACCAAACCACAACAAAUAAGAUUAAAGAAGAAAAGAAAGAGAACAAUCAAGUUAACAACAAAAAGGAUAUGCAACGGAAGCCAUAACAUAAACACUUGUUAACACGAUGUCAAUACAAAGAAUUCUCUCCCUAAACAAAAGCGUCACCUAAAUGCAAUACAUAUGAGAAAGAUGCACCUAGAACAAGCAAACCAAAUAAGGAUAUUUGAAACACACAAAGAACCAAGCAUACAAGGGUAGAAGAGAGUAAAGAGAAAACCAUACCAUAAAUCUGGAAUCCAUGACACACAAAACUAAAAGACAUAAGAGAGAUCUAGGCAUAUUAAUGAAGAAGAAAGAGUACCAACACAGACACAAGAAGGGAGAUUAGAUAAGAACCAAAACGAGAGAAGAAGAAGAUAGUGAAAAGAUAUUGAAUACUUAUAUAGGUCACAAAGGGAAGAAAAGAAAAACAUAACAUGAAUCCCUGAUAGAAACAAAGAGAAUCCUAUACAUAGAAGAAAGAGUCAGGACGCCAUCAAACGGAACAAAUGAUUCACUAGAAUAUCACUUUAAUCAACCGACCAUAACCACCUGAGAUAGACUCCUGAGAGACGACUUCAUAGUAGGAAGAUAUCUAGAGAAAAAGAGCAAACAAACAAAAAGGAAGAAAUACCAUACCCGAUGAAAUCGGCAACGUACAAUAAUGACCAAGAACCAAAAAGUCAAACCUGUGAGAAAUGUGCAAGAAAAGAAUAUGCGAAAAGAGAAAGAAGAAGAGAUAAACAAUAGUUAGUAGGAGAUAUGAAAGAGAAUAGGGAAACCAUGCAUACUAGACACAUCCAACAAUAUCCCAUGACAAAACUACAGGAAUAUGAGUAUCUGCAGGAAGAGAUAUGUAAAGGAUAAGAAAAUCCAUUGAGAAUCCAUGGGGAAAUCCAAUCUGUAAAUGUUCCUGAAACAACUCAACCAACCACAAAAAAAGAAUUAGAGAAUCUUAUAAACAAAGAUAAGAAAAUAUUAUCCCAAACACAAUGGAAUAGAGACAUAAAAGGAAUAAACCUGUAAGCCCACCCUAGUGAAACCCAAAAAUUAGUUCAACAUAUGCCAAACAAGAUAAGCAAUCAUCAAGCUCAUAAAAAAAAUGCUUUAAUCUGAAGAAUGAGCAAGGAUUAUCGAUUUCACCAAGUCACAAAACAACAAUCCAACUUCAGAGCAAAUUUCCUGCCAGAACACUAAGACUCCGAUGACAUGCCAUACAUUGUCAGAAAGAUUAGAGAGUCAAUAGAAGAGAAUUGCUAACAAUAGAUGACCAAACUGAGCAUAUGCAUCCCAAAGUAGAACAGUGGUAGCCCAAAACCAUUGCAGGAGGAUUAUUGCAGAAGACUACCAAGAACACAUCUAAUCAAACCUAUUGCAGGAAAUAAUAGAAUCAACCAGGCACAAGAAGCAACAAUAAGAGAAUAGGCAAGUCUCAUAAGCAUUUAAUCAAACACCAGCUAGCCAACAAGGUAAUUCAAGAAUAUUAUCCCAACAUAGAAAAGUGUGAUGAGAACCUAUGAGAAAACAUGAAUCAGUAUAAAUUGUGACAAACGAAUACACCAAUAACAUGAUUUCAUCACCAAAAUAUGCUUAUGCAUACCUUGUACCCUUCUUAAAACAAAUUGAGAACCAUCACCUUGAGAAAUCACAUCAAACACAUGUGAUCCAAUGACAAAAAUAGAAAGCAUGAAGUUUAAAAACCAAACAAUACAAACAAUCUGACCUUAGUAUGUCAAUGAAACACCGACUGAAAAGAAUUACCAAGGAAUGGAACCAAAAUAGAGUAAGCCAGAAACACUUUCAGCAAGAACAUCUGCCUGUAAAGUUACUGAGAGAAAAAUAAAGUUGACGACACACACAUUGUCCAUGAACUUCUUUGAGCACGAGGAGGACGUGUGCCCGAUGACGAAGCACCCUUGGAACCGGGUGUUUCUUUGGUGGGAGUAGUCCGAGCGCGCUUAGGAGCCAUGUCCGGCAUAAGCACAGCAGUAACCAAACUAAAAAAUGUAAGAGAAAUGGUGAAACUAGCACAAGAAAUGUGAGAAUACCCAUGUAGACAUUUUAUCGAACACACGGUUAGCAUAAUCAUGAAGUGUGCAUACGAUAACAACCAAGCAAUGAAAAUCGCACGAAACUUGUUAGAAGAACCAAACACAAACAAACAAUAGCAAAUAGAGGCUGCACCAUAUCUAAUGAAUCAAUUUUAACGACAAAACUAACAACCCAUAUCCAACCAUGUGAAGGCUAACCUUAAGAACUAACCAAAACAGCCAUACAAUCAACAAGCAACAAGUAUAUAGAGAGAAGUACCAAAAAACAUCUGCCAUGUUCAACGUACAAACUACCAAACAACGUUCGUACGUUCGAGGAGAAAAAAAGUUCUGCCUCCCUUAACGUACGAAUGUCCUAACGACGUACGUACCUUUUUUUUUUUUUUUUUGUUAAAUGUAAUUUAAAUUUAAAAAAAUAACAAUAGAAAACUAACCUUAAUAACAGAAAAACAAACCGAAUAACUAACCACACAAACCGUAAUAAGAAGAUAAAAGGAAAAGAAUCGAGGUACCAUAGAAGUGAAGAGGAAUACAUCAUGAACUUCCAAAAACAGUAGUCAAUCCCAAUCCGUACAAAAAUAAGAGGCAAUAUAUGGGGAUAAACAAAAGAUUGAACAAAUAAGAGAAUUGAAGUGCAUCAUAAACUAAACCUCGGUGUGUAGAUUCAAUGCAAUGCAUAAAGAGAGAGAAAGGUCACCACUAGACCACACCCUUUGAAGACCUAGAAUAUAGAACCAUCAACAAGAGACAUACGAUUAGUAAGUGAGCAUAGAAGAAACAAACUUCAACCCCCUUUGAAACAAACGUUGAGAAUAGAAGGAAAACGAAUAUAAAUAUGAUCUUUCAAAUGAAAACCAAGACAUCCAAAAGGCAAAGGAAUAUAAACUAUGUAUGUCUUACAUAAAAACAAUGAACAUGCGCUUGGAUUUUUUAUUUUGCCGCAUGUGGUGGAGUUUAGUCUACAUCACACUAAUGUCAUUCCCGCGUGGGAGGGAUUUUUGCAUCCAUCUUUUCAAAUACACGAGGGUAGGGUGUAGCCUACAUCUUUUUGACAAACACAAACUCAAGAAGUGCAAUACCAUGAUAACGUGCAACACAAGAACUAACAUCACUUGAGUGCAUCCGUCAGAGCAUGACCCUCACAACCCCAACUGGUUCUUAGCCAACUGAUAUUGCUUCAAAGACAAUCAAAUGGCUGGGGAUAAAGUGAGUCAUUGACCACUAACAAGAGUUGUAAUAGGAAGAUAAGAAUGUUCAAUAACACUAACAACAAGAUGAACAUUAACCAAAACAAAGGAGAGAUAGCUCAAGAUCACAUAAAUACUCGAGAGAUAGAGAAGUUCUAUGAGCUCAAAGAAUAUGUAAGUGGUUUCCAAAAACUCCCAUUAUGCAAGCAUGCCGUGCACUGUGCAAACAAGCGAGGAAAAAUGCAUGAUACAUACCAAAACAUACUUAAGAGUUCAGAAAGAGAAAACACCCAAACAUAUUGCAACUUAUUUAAAACAAUUGAAUUAAACCAAUAUCUCAGAAAAGAUGCAACCAACAACACAUACAUGGAAUAAAUAAAGAAAAAACAAAAAAUAGAAGGAAUAACCAACAACCCCCUUUUUUUUUUUUAUUAUUAACAAUGUAUUCAGACAUGCAGCAUGAUCUGCAAGCUAAACAAACAAAGCAUAAAAAACAGAAGUACCAAACAAAUAGCCUAUGUGGUUAGAGAAAUAUGCAAUUCAAAUAACACAAGGCUAGAAACAAACUACAUCAUCCCAAAUAUGAGACACCACCAGACUUUUGCAAGUCCAGAAAAACCUGCAACUUAUCUUUUCUUACCCAUACUUGUUUAACACUAGGCGUGCACACCUUGGGAGUUGAAAAGAUAUGAGAUCUCCCCUUAACAAGCUUUGCAAUAGACUUGUCCUUAACUAAUUCCACCUUAGUCUUUGACUUCCUUUUGUUGGAGUACCUGUUUUUCUUAAACCUAUGACAAUAAACAUUAGAAUUCCAAGGUCUAGAAAACGCACAAGAGGGAACAUAAGAAUCAACAAGAUUAUAAUUAUAAGGAACAUGAGAAUAACAUUUAACAUGUUGAUUAAAAUCCCAACAAAAGAUAUCCAAAUGACCAUCUCUACCACAAUAAGAACAAUGAAAAACAUUAGACUUACUCAAAGAAUUCUUAUAAGAAGAUGUGGUGGUAGAAGAUGAAACAUGUAUGUCACCAUUGUAUUUGUGACAUGGUGCCUUAACAAAACCUAUACCUCCAUUAUGAGAACAAUAUGGCUUAUCAGUAAAAACAGCCUUACCAUUAACCUUAGACUUAAAAUUCUUACGAGAAACAUGCUGAAAAUUAGUAGCAUUAAGUCUAGUCUCAAUAGGUGGGGUAGGCAAAAGGGCAGACAAACUAGAUUUUACAGGAGUAAUCACACUAGAUGAACUAGUAGAACUAGCAAUAGGAGAAUCAAAUCUAGUUUUGUCCAAAACCUGCAAUUGGAGUUGAGUAGACGUUAAAUCGUUCUUUGUUACCUCAUACUCCACCAAUAGAGAUUUGUAUUUCUCAUCGACCUCCUGAUUGGCCUUCUCUAAAGCUGCAAUUCUACAUAACAAGUCAAGUUUUUCUUUGUCAAAUAAUUGAGAAAUAGAAAUUGCAUCAUCUGCAACACAAGAAAUUUGUUUUUCAAGAAUCUCAAUUUUAUCCUGCAAAGAAAGAUUAGCCUUUUCCAAAUUUUUAAUUUUGGAUUCAUAAACUUCCCCUUGAAGCAUAUAGUCCUCUGCACAAUGUCUGAGUCGUUGUUCUAGAGAAUCAACCUUAGUCUGCAAAACACCAUUAUCUUCAAAACAAACAUUAUCAGAAAUAGUAGAUACAUUACAAUUAGCUUUAUUAAAUUUUUCCUGCAAAUCAAUAUUAGCUUUUUGUAAUCUUUCACAUUCUUUUGCAGAAAGUCUGUAAAGAAGAGCCCAAUCACUAUUGCUAACAACAUACAAAUUAUCAUCCUUUUCAAAAUCAGAUUUUGGUUUUGUAGAUUUAGACGAUUUAGCAAUAAAACUAUUAUAACCAGACUCAUGAACCAUUAUUGCACUCAUAGGAUCUACGCGUGAGCCAUUACGCUCCAUAACAAGCGCCCUGCUCCUGAUACCAAUUGAGAAACUACAAAUAGUGCUAAUAUAACAGUUGAAUAUUCAAACAAAUCAAACAAUAUGCAGAAAGUAAAUAACACACAGAAAUUUUUAACGUGGUAAAACCCAAUAUGGGAAACGUCCACGGUUGUCCUCACGACAACAAAUAAAUCCACUAGAUGAAAAGAGAUUUACAAACCUAUCAACUACCUGCAAUCACUGCGAGUUGACACUACCGGUUAUCUCUAACACCUUGACUUCACCAGAGUACCUUGAUGUACGCACAAGACACUCGACUUCUUGAUGAACACACAAGAAGACUCAAAGCCGAACUAUGAAACAAGCUUACACCAGAGUUCCUUGAUGAACACACAAGGAUACUCGACUUCUUGAUGAACACACAAGAAGACUCGAAGCUAAAUCACUAUUCAACAAUAAAGAAGAAGAUGAAUAGGGAAGAAGGAAGAAGAAGAUGAAAGGGGAAGAAGAAGAUGAGUUCAAUCACCAAAACAACCUAAAACAAAACCUAAACAAACUCCAAGAAUAGAUGAAUUGGACGGCCAAAGAACUAAAUUGUUCUUUGGUGGAGAAACCCUAUAUAUAGUUAGGGUUGGAAGACACACAAAAUGGGCCGGAAUUGCAGAAAUCCACUUUGGACGUACAUACGUCGAAACAACGUUCGUACGUCUCCACAGUGUAAAAGUUCGCUGCCUGCUUGGACGUACGAACGCCCUAACUAGCUACGUACGUCCUAAACCCAAAACUUACUUUUGACACAAGGACGCGAGGACACAGACUCGGGACGAUGUGCGUACAACUUGGUUUUCCUAACAAUGAACUCAAGGCGAGAUAACCAUGGACAUCCAAUGUCACAAAAUUGAUGUCAAACAAACUUCGUGCCGGUUUCAAGGGGUGCUAUGAGGUAUCUAGUGACGAAGAAAGUAGUGACGGAAAGGAUAGUGUCCAAAAGCCAUCUCAAGAGAGUGACGAAGAAAAUCCUUCCACAAAUAAAUCUAACAAAUCCAAACAAAGGAUGGUAAUCAUACUUUUGUUUUGCUACUUUUUAAUAUACUUUAUAAUUUCUACUUGGUAUUUUAUAUUACAAUAAUGUACUUAAACAGGACAAUGGUGAUGAAAUGGAAGACAUGCUUAAUCAACCUGUUGAGAACAUAAAUUCUAUUGGGGGCAAGUCCUACUGAUGGGGGUUUCAACAAUGGAGAGGAUAGUGUCCCUUCGACUAAAGACUCUACUAUGUCUAGGAGACCUAGAGGGCUUACAACUCCUAACCCUAUGUUCGAUAGUAGUUCUAAAAAGAAAAUUGUAUUUAAUUAUAAGGGACAACCUAUAGGAGAAAAUUCAGUUGCAUUAUCCACUGAAAUGGGAAAUAUAGCAAGAGAUAUGGUGCCACUGAAUUUUGAUGAUUGGAGGACAGUCCCAAAUAAGAACUUUUAUUGGUCUACAAUCCAGGUAUUUUAAUGUGUAGUUGCAUUGAAAAUUUGUUGGUUAUUUGAUUAUUGUUUUAACGUUGUUAUUAAUUAAGAUUAAUUGGCUUGUGUAGCAAAAAUUCAUAAUUGAUGAAGAGCUUGGCAGACCUUAUGCUUUUCAACAGAUUGGAAAACUAUGGAGGGCGCGCAAAUCAAGAUUAAGAAGAAAGAUUAGAGCUUGUGAGAACAAGAAGGAAAUUAAGGCUUUGAGGAAAAAAUGUAAUAUCAACAAAGACGACUUGAAGAUAUUUAUAAAAAAAAUGUCAAACAGAGUAUACAAGGUACAAUUUUCCCUACAUGAUUACUGACCUGGACUUGGAUUUUUUCAUGUAUAUGCUAAUAGUACAACUUGUAUGAAGAUGUACAAGUCUGAAAACAAAUUGGUUUUUUUUUUUUGUUAUUUAUAAACAUAUUUUAUAUGUUACAUCAUAUUUUACAUGGAUGUUUUUUUUUUUGUGCAUGUAUGAUAGCUAUUGAUAGCUCUUUUUACUAUAUUGUAGAAAAAAAGCAUGAAAUUUCAGGAGAUGAGGGCAAAUCAAAAUCUCCCUCAUACAUGUGCUCGAAGAGGUUACGCACAUUUGGAGGAUGAUAUGGUAAGUUUUGUGUUUGUUGUUUUGAAAAAAAAAUAUGAAUGUGAUUUUGAAUAUUUUUUUUCUUUUGAUAUUUAUUAUGUAGAAAAAGAAGAGUCCAAAUCCUUCUUCUAUAACUAGGACUGAUGUUUGGGUUCAAGGACACACCAAGAGAAAUGGUGAACCGUCCAAUGCUAAAGUUGCUAAGAAAAUGGUUUUUUUUUUUUUACAACUACAAAUACGUUACAAUUAUAUUAUUAGAAAAUUGCAAUUUUAAAUGACGUCGUUUAAUUUCAGAAAAAAAUUAGGGAGAUCCAAGAGUCAGCCCAUGCAAACUCUUCUCCCCAGAAUAUACAAAAUGACCCUCUUUCACAAGUACUUGGACCUGAUCCUUAUGGUCGCUCAAGAGGUGUAGGAUCUGGAGUGGCUCCAUCUAAACUAGGACUAGUACCACAACACAUGGCGAUGAUCACUCAAUGUCAAGAGCAGAAUGCAUCUAUGAAGGAAACGGUGGACAAUUUAACAAAGAUGGUUCAUAGCCAACAUGACCUAAUUAAUACUUUGGUUGCUAAGCUACAGGCAAGUUAGCUUUAGCCUUUGUAUAUUUGCUAACGUUAUAGGAAUCAAUAUUGAUCUUUUGAGGUAUAUAUAUUGUAUAAUGUUUAAAUGUUUUUAUAGGGUCAAUCCAUUGGGAGUGGACAGUUCACACAAUUGCUUGCUGUUUUUAGUCCAACCUCAAUUAAUCCAAGUCCAACUAAUUUUGAUGCUUCUUCUCCAAUUUCACCAACAAGUUCUACUCCAAAUAUUGGCAACCCAGUUGCUUCAAUUCCACAGGUAAGUAACAUACCAUACAGAAUGUUGUAUGGCCAUUUGUUUUCUUAUCGAUCAUGCUUGCUUUAUCUCUAUAAUUUGUUUUCUUUGUAGGUAUAUGGAAGUAAUGCGAAUAAUUUAAAAUGCAAGUUGAUGAACUGGUUGGAGCCUAAUGAACUAGUUGCUUACGGUCGUUGGGAAACAAGUGAUCCUAAUGUCAAAGUACAUUUUAAAUCGCUUGGAGAGGGUGCUUCUAAAGUUUGGAUAGAUAAGGUUGAAAUGCCAAUACAAUUAUGGAGGCAAACUAAUGAUGAUGGGGUAGAGACUUUAGAUGAUGUUGUGGGCAGUGCAAUUGCGUGGCCUACAAACUACAUUCUCAUUACCGAGGAGGGGAUGACUAAUGGAGGUAUAACUAUCUCACUAUAUUUAAUAAAAAAUAUAAAUAGUAAUGUCGUAGAGAUGUUAUUUGUUCUUUCCUCGGUUGCAUUGUUUUGUACUUUUUUUUCUUAAAUAUAUGAGAUAGUGCUUAUGGACUUUUGGUUUAUAUUGUAGGUGGUAGUUAAAUUAAAAGCUAUCGGAGAUAUGGGACGACAUGGCUUGACAGGUUCUAUAUGGUGGACAACAGUUUGUUUGUUUUUCGUGUGUAUAGGCCAAGAGUGCUAUAUGUCGAUCUCUACUUAAUAUGAUCGGGUAUAUACGGUUUAAAAGUCAUAUUUUGUAAACAAAGGAAAUGUCCUUUGUUCUGGGUGUUGAUGUGAAGGUGCAUAUUAAUAUAUGAUGAUCAGAACUUUGUAAUGGUUUCUUUGGAUGAUUAUUAUAUACUAAUGACAUUUUAAUUUUCUUUUAUCUUGUUGCGUUAUAUGUUUUGAAAGGAAUAUUGAUGUGUCAUAUUGAAUAUGGAAUGAUUGAAAUACCAUUUCAAAAGCCAAACAAAUUGAAUUUCUCAAUUGGUCAAUUCAAAAAAAUAAAUAAUUAAAUAAAUAAAUAAAUAAUAAUAAUAAUAAUAAUAAUAAUAAUAAUAAUAAUAAUAAUAAUAAUAAUAAUAUAAAAAAUAUUUGCACAAUAAAAGAUGGCCUUGUACGAAUGCUAUAGUUAUUGAACAAUAGCAUCUACAAAAUGCUAUCAAAUAAUAACGUUCAUAUAAUAUGCUAUCUAUAUAUGCUAUUAAUUACUACAGCAUCUUACAAGAAACGCUAUCUUCAAAAGAAUAACAUAUAAAUAUAUGUUAUCAAAGACUAUAGCAUUUUACAAAAAACGCUAUCUCAGAAAGAAUAGCAUAUAAAUAUAUGUAAUUAAAGACUAUAGCGUUAUACACAAAACGUUAUCUUAAAAAGAAUAGCAUAUAACUAAAUGCAAUUAUAUUAUAACGUUUGUCCGAAAACGCUAUUAAAAAAAAGGAUAGCAUGGCUAUAGAUAGCGUUUUUUAUAUGCUAUAAAAUACAAUUAACAGCAUUUAUCCAGCGUUAUCUAUGUUGAUUUUUCUAGUAGUGUCACCAUUCUACCAUUCGUUUUACUACAACUUUCUUCAUCACUCAUCACUGUAACUCAAUCAAGUAAGGUUCUUUCUUCUUCACCAAUUUUUCCACUUGGAAGUUAGUUGAAUUGAGGGUGUCCCACAUGUAUAGAAAGGCAAGAAGAAGGUGAUAGUGAAGGUUCCAGUAAACUAAUAUCAACUUGGAUUGGAAAUUUGGAAUCAACUGAGUCUUUCACCGCUAGGCCUGUCAACUAUCCAAACCGAUCCAAUCCAUUAUUUUUCUGUUUUGGAUAUCCAUUUGGAUUAUUCGAUCAUAUGGAAUGGUUUUUGGAUAAUAACAAAGAGAAAACCAAUCCGAUCCAAUAGAACAAAAAAGAAAAUUUCAUUCGAUCUCUCUCUCUUUCCCCAAACUUUACUUUCUCUCUGUUCGUCUUCUCAAUCGAUCUCUCUUUUGUUCUCAAAAAUUAUAAUCGAUUUCCCCAAACUUAAAGAAUUUCGAUCAGGUCAUCAUCAUAUAACCCAAUUUUGGAUUUCUAGGUGGAUUUCUAGAAGAAUUUCGAUCAGGUAAGUUUGUGAUUUUAUUUGAUUGUUGAAUUUGGGUACAAGAAAGUUGACAUAGAGACUUGGGUUUGUGAUUACAGUUGAUUUUUAAUUGACUUGGGUUCUUUUGUUUGAGUUUUUCUUUUUUGGGUUUUCAUUAAAACAAUUUUUUAAUGGUUGCGAAAACUGUUGGGGAUUAAUUUGGUUUGAAAAGGAAAGGUUGAGUUUUUCUCUUUUGGGUUUGUGAUUACAGUGAUUCAUUGUAAGAUGUCGGUUCCUUCGUCGAUGGAUUCUAUCUACAAGGUUAGUAAUUCAUUGAAUAGAAAAAAACUUAGUGCAUCAGAAAACACAUUGAGGUCUAAUGUAUGGUUAGAGUUCAAGAGAAGUGAGGAUAAACAAAGUGCUAUUUGUAAACAUUGUAAAGAAAGCUUUAGGGUCAAUGGAACUUCUAGCUUGCGUAAUCAUUUGAAGAGAUGUUCUAUGAAAAAACAAGAUGAGGGAACUCCUUCGACUAAGAUGAUCAAAUUUUGUCAAGAACGAAGUAGAAAAGAUCUUUCUGAGAUGUUUGUUAAACAUAAUUACCCGUUUUCGAUGGUUGAACAUGAGUAUUUUAGAAAGUUUGUGAACAAUCUUCAACCACAAUUUGAUUUAAAGCAUCGAAAUACAGUUCGAGGUGAUAUUGUGAAAUUAUACAAAGAAGAGAAAAAUGCACUUUAUAGUAGUUUGGGAAAACUUUCAAGUCGGAUUAGUAUGACAACUGAUUUGUGGACAACACACUGUACAAGAGAUUCGUAUAUGUGUUUAACUGUUCAUUAUAUUGAUGAUGAUUGGGUUUUAAGGAAUAAGAUAUUAAAUUAUAUUUUCGAUUAAUGGAUUGUUCUCAUACUGGAAGUGAGUUAGAAAGAAUUCUAAUGAAAUGUUUGCUUGAUUUGAAUGUUGAUGAAAAGGUAUCUACUAUUACUGUUGAUAAUGCUUCAUCGAAUGAUGUGAUGGUUAGUUUGUUAAAGGCCAAUCUCAAUCAAGACAAGUUGUUAGUUUUUAAUAGAAAGUUUUUUCACAUUCGUUGUACAACACAUAUUCUAAACCUCAUUGUCAAAGAUGGAUUGUCAGCCAUGGGGAAUACGUUGAAUCGUAUUCGGGAGAGUUGUAAGUAUGUAAGGUUAACACCUCAAAGGAAGAUGAAGUGGGAAGAAGUUGCUCAGCAAGUGGGUGUAGUCACACUAAAAGAGAUUUGUUUUGAUUGCCCAACAAGAUGGAACUCGACUUAUGAAAUGAUUGCAACUGUAUUGAUUUAUGAAAAGGCUUUCAAGCGUUUACAUUUGCAAGAUGAGGAUUUCAAAACAAUCCCCUCUACAGAGGAAUGGGUCAUUGCAUCGAGAGAUUUGCACAUGUUUGGAAAAAUUUUAUGCGUCGACAAUGAGUCUUUCAGGUAUGCAAUUUAUAUUCCCAUGGUGUAAAUGAUUGAAUUCAUUUUUUUUCUUUUUCUUUCUAAUGUUGUCUUUGGUUUAGUCUGGUAACACACUCAUUUCUAAUGUUGUUUUUGGCUUAGUCUGGAUUUUAUCAUCUCUUAGAAACUUUAUUCUUAACUUUGUUAUAGGUAUGGAUUAUCCAUGUAAAUGUCAGACACAAUUGUUGAUUGUCGUAUCUAGCUAUUAGGUUCACAUGUCAAUUGUCUAAGGUCCACGUCUGAAUUGAUUUGGAUAAUCAUGUCUACUGGUCAUUUGGUCAGUGAACUGUGAACAUGUUCUAUGGAUCUGUUUCUUAAAAAAAAAUUAGUAUUGUUCAAUCUGGUUAAAUAUCUUUGAUAUUUGUUCAUGGAUUUAUUGUUGAAACAUGCUAUCAACCUGAACCUGAAGUUUAAAUAAGGGUUUUGAUCUAUUUUUAUUGAUUCCGCCAAGUGAUGGUUCAUGCCAAUGUUAUUUUUUGUUUGAAGAAAAUGAUAAUGCGCAUGCAAAUGGUCGUUGUUACUGUGUUAGUUCAACUUCAAAUUUAUAUUCCCAUGGUGUAAAUGAUUGAAUUCAUUUAUUUUUUUCUUUCUAAUGUUUCCUUUGGUUUAGUCUGGUGUACUCAUUUCUAAUGUUUCCUUUGGUUUAGUCUAGAUUUUGUCAUCUCUUAGAAACUUUAUUCUUAACUUUGUUAUAGGUAUGGAUUAUCCAACUGCAGACGUAUACUUCUCGAAUGUAUGUGAAAUUCAUAUAGCAUUGUUGGAGUGGAAAAAAGUGCUACUGAAGUUGUGAAAAAAAUGGCUGAUUCCAUGUAUGAGAAGUUCAAAAAGUAGUAGUUGUUUGAUUCUAGCGGUGGCCUUUGUUCUUAACCAUGGUUUUAAGUUGAAGUUUGUUGAGAAUUACUAUAUCAUAUAUGGUGACUAUGAGAGUGCUUUUCAAACUAGGAAAGUUCGAGAAGCAAUGAUUGAAAUAUAUAGUGAGUAUUCCCCACCUACAACAAAUCCUCUUUUCACAUCUCAACCUUCAUCAUCAAGUUCUAGUCAACAACUCUUCGAUGAAAAUUCUCUCAAUUCGAACAAAUCUAUGAGAUUUGAAAGUUGGUACCAGGUUGAAGGAAUCGGUACAACACAAUGCAAAUCUGAGUUGGAUAGUUAUUUGGAUGAGCCCCUUUAUCCGCUCAAAGGUUUAUCUUUAUUGGAUUGGUGGAAAGUAAAUACACCAAAAUAUCCAACACUUUCGAGGAUGGCUCAGGAUAUUUUGUGUAGAGUACUAACUGACUAAGUGACUAGCGUGCUUCGUUAGAUCCUAAAAUGGUGGAAGUGCUUAUCUGUACUCAGAAUUGGUUGCCAUAUUUGUCUGGAGGUAAGAAAUCACUAGUAAUGUCUUAUUAUUUAGGGCUAGUUAUGAUUUGUUUAAUAGGUAAUUUUAUUAUGUUUUAUUGGUAUUGUUGUAGAUGCAUCUGCAUGCUCAAUUCAAGAUAAUAUUGACUCAAUGGCAAAUGAUGAGCUCGAUGAUGUUGAUGAUGAUUUGUGUGCAACAGUAGCAUUCUCUACUUGAUUGGAUAAUGAACAGGUACAAAUCUAGUUUACACAUUGGAAGACAUUUACUUUUUCUAUAAGUUCACAAGUUCCUUUUGCAAAUAGAUUUGUUAGAGAGCAUUCAGCAUUUUGGACCCUCCUAUAUAGCAUCUUCUAUGUUAUUCAGCUUACCUGGAAAUAAACUCUACCUUUCUUCUCUAAUUAAUAUCUAAAUUUUUUAGGUACCAUCUGAAGGAUGUGAUUGUAGGCAAGAUUUAUUUUCUUCUUGUAAGAAUCAAAUCAAACACAUGGAGCUUGAUGGAUGGUGUUCCUGUCAGAGGUAUACAUAUCUAUUCUUAGUUCUCAUAAUGGAUGUGGAUUAUGUUUUUCUUAAAUUGGAUACUUUUUAGCUUGAAGUGGUUACAUUAUUGCUGAAAAUGAUCUGGUAUCAGCUUAGGUCUAGUAUAUAACUCGACUUUUGCGAAAUGUUAAUGGUCAAUAUAUCAGUAGAAAGCACUAGCACUUGUACUAGUAGUCUACUAGUACUACUACUAGUUUUUUAGUAUGGGUACACCACUUGAGAGUGUGGGUGGUUCUGACUUCGGAGAAUUCGUUUAGCUGAUGGAUUCACAAUAGAACAGCUUCUUCAUAUUAGCCUUAUCUUUGAAUAUGUUUUGCAUCUAAGGAUAACUCAUAUUCCCUGCUUGCUUAUGACCUACUUUCACCAUUUUUACAGUAUAUUGUUAGUAGUCUCUAUUCUGAUCCUCCCUGUUCUAUAGAUGAUGGUUAAUUUGUUGUUUGUAUGUUGUUUGAAUGUAUAAUGCAGUCUUACAUUACAUUAUGUUUUUCUUUCCUUCACAUAGACUGUUUCUGAGCACUUAUCAAUUAGAGCAUGAUGGAGGGAAGACAGUGAUACAGCGAAGACAACACGCAAAUUUGUUUUGCGAAACAUGUUGUAUUUGUAGAGUGAUUUGUUUGGGGUUUUCUGUACUCUGUUCAAUCUGAGAUGUAUGAACAAUUUUAGCAAAACUUACAAUGUGAAUCACACAUGUACAGCAGCACUCUGGUUGUUUGAUAGCAAACCUCAUCAUUUUAUGUAUCGGAGUUUGUGUCACCGCAUUUUUAGCAUCAAUAUAUGUUAAAAGUUGGUGAAACUUAUUUAGCAUUUUUAGCAUCAAAUCUGAGUUGGAUACAAUAUAUGUAUCGGAGUUUGUGUCACCGCAUUUGUACCAUCAAUAUAAGAUAAUGAAAUGUUGCAUGGCAUGUAUAACAAUUGUGAACUGUAUACAUAUAUGCAAGGAAGCAAGAGGCAUUGGGCAUUACUGACUACUGAGUAGGAUAGGAUAGGAUGUUUGCAACUUUGCACCAAGGAUGUAAACAUGUUGCAAAAUUGUAUUUAAAAAGAAAAUUUGUUUUUUAUUCAAAAGAAAAACACGAGGGAGCAUGUGCAGCUGCAGCUAAGGUACAAAAAUACGAGGGAGCAUGUGCAGCGAACUAGCAUUGUUUCAUUCCUUUUGCUUUUGACACUUUUGGGUUUCUAGCACCAGAAGCAGUUGAGCUUCUAAGGAGGGUAUAGAAGGUGAUGAAUAGCAACGUGAUGACGGCGGGUUCCAAUGAAUAUGAAUUUUGUAGGAUUGGUUUUGCUAUUCAAAAAGGGCUUGCAGCGCAGUUUUUAGCACGUUUGUCCUCUAGCUUUGUGUAAUUCCUCUUUUAUCAAUAAAAUUUGUUUUUGAGUAAAAAAAAAAAAAACCCCGGAUCGGAUCGGAUCAGAUAUCCAUUAAUUUACAGUGGAUCGGUUCUGAUCAGCUGUACCAAUUAUCCGUUCUGAAUUGGAUCGAAUCGGUUCGGAUCACAAUACAUACAGAUCAGUUCGGCUCAGUGAGAUAUCCAAACCGAACCGAUCCUUUGACAAGCCUAUUCACCGCGUUCCAAAGUCACAAACCACACGUAGUCUUUUAGGUGGUAAACCGGCCAACAUUAGUGCACGCAUCUCUAAAAUAUUGAUAUCUUUAUGUUGAAAUAAAAAUAAAACCAAGAUUUUCUUUAACACGAUGGAUUGGUCCUUUGAACCCAUCAUCAUUUAAUCCAUCUUUCACAAUCAAAUUUAAAACAUGACAACAACAACGGACAUGCGAUAAUCUACCAUUUAAAGGAAGGCCAGGUAAAAUUGUCUUAAAAAAAAUAAAUGCUACAGUAUUAGAACUAGCAUUAUCUAAUGAAUCGAAAUUUUUUUUUCCAAAGAUACCUAGUUUUUGAAGUUUUUCAAUAAUAAAAGUAGCAAUAGCAUCACCAGUAUGUGAAAAAUCUAUAUUACAAAAUGAAACAAUUCGUUUUUGUAAUUUCAAAUAUUUAUCAACAUAAUUAGCAGUAAUUGAACAAUAUCCAAGAUUUUGAUUAGAAGUCCACAAAUCGAAUGUUAAACAUAUUUUUCCAUCAAAAGUAAGUAAAACUUCUUUUAGUUUUGUUUUUUCUUCUUUGAAAACCUUAACUAUAUCACUUCUAACAGUAUGUCGUGAAAAUGCAACAUAUUGAGGACAAAAUAAUUCUUUAAUCAUUGAUGCAAACUCAGGAUCCUCAAUAACAUUAAAGGCAACUCUCUUUUUAUUAUCCAUUUAAUAAGUCUUCUACGAGCAACUGAUUGAUUAUAUGUAAAAGCAACAACAUUUCCACUCCCAUCUUGAGACAAGGUUGGUUGACCUGAGUCUCUCCUACGCUUUUUAGCACAACUUGUAAGAUGGUGAGCAAGAUGGUUUGUGCCAUCUUUUGGCGAAACCCCUAAAGAAGUUUGACAUACAUUACAAACACAUCUAAGCACACGUGCCCCGGUUUUAGGAUGAGGACCAUAAAAUGUGGUCAAACAUCAGAUUUUCUACUCGAUGAUAAUUUUCUAAGACGUGUUUCCUCUUCAGGAGUAUGAUUAUGAAUAUUAGUAGCACUAGUAGCAGAGGAUGAAUUAGUAUCAUUAUUGUUGGGUGGUAUAUAAUCUGAUUCAUAAGUAGGCUCACUAGACUCUCCAAUUCCAGACAUUAUCAAUAAGAUAAUAACAACAAAUUAACAAAUUAAGAGAAAAAAAAGAAGCAAAGAAUCAAUCCAAUUUACCAAUCGUCACAACAAGUUGUUAAAUGCAAGCAACUCAAGACAGAUAGUUAGAAUGCAAAGAACAACUCUGGAAUGAAUGACUUGUUUAUUGAAUGAGAAACAACAGCUAUUAAAUAGUCUUUUACAGAAUGAAAUCUAAAACAAACUACACUCACGUUCCAACUAGAAUCGUGGUAACAAUCUUGACUAAAUCAAAUAUAACAGUCCCUAAAGAAUAGGGCUUAUUGACAAACUAAAUCUUAUCAUUCACUCCUCUGAACUAAACUGCCUAGGCAGACAUCUAGUUUACCUUUGGGCCAUCACAAACUCCCAAUUUCUUUCUAAGCUCCUAAAAUGUUUCUAGCUUGACUGGUUUUGUAAAUAUGUAUGCUAUUUGUUGUUGUGUACCACAAUACUUGAGCUGCACAACUCCUUCAUUCACCAGAUCACGUAAGAAAUGGAAACGCACAUCAAUAUGCUUGCUCUUGCCGUGCAUCACAGGAUUCUUUGACAACUUGAUUGUUGAGCUAUUGUCACAAAAGAUGACAGGACUCUCACUGCCAUUAUAACCAAUCUUCUUUAACACCUUUUUCAUCCACACCAAUUGACAAGUACAUGCUGCAGCCGCAACAAACUCGGUUUCUAUUGUACUUAGUGUAACUAUUGGUUGCUUUCGAGAAGACCAAGCCACUGCUGCUCCACUUAAAAUAAAAACAUACCCCGACGUGCUCUUUCUAUCUUCCACACACCCUGCAUAAUCACUAUCAGUGAAGCCAACCAAUUCCUUAUUUCCUCCUUUCUGGUAAAAAAUACCAAAGCCAAUGGUUCCUUGCAAGUACCGUAAAACUCUCUUGGUUGCUGAAAAAUGUAGAUCAGUUGGCUAUGACAUAUACCUGCUGAUUAGGCUAACUGCAUACAUUAUAUCCGACCUUGUGGCUGUUAAAUAUAUCAUGCUUCCAACCAGCUGCUUGUAGAACGAACCAUUCACCUCUACCCCAUUUUCAUCUUUAGAAAUUUUGAACCCUGGAAUGAUCGGAUUUUGAACAGAAUUACUAUCCUCCAUUCCAAACUUUCUUAACACUUCCAUCACAUAUUUCUUUUGACUAAUGAAUAUCCCUCCAUCAAACUGCACUACUUCAAUGCCAAGAAAAUACCUCAUCUUGCCCAAAUCCGACAUAUCAAAUUCCUUCAUCAUGGAGUCCUUAAACUCAUACAUCAUAACCUCAUCGUCUCCUGUAUAAAUUAAAUCAUCAACAUACAAACUAAUGAUGAAACGUUUACGUUGUUUGUUGACUUUAGUAAACAAAGUUUGUUCACUAUCAUCCUUCUUGAAACCUUCUCUCUUGAAAUACGACUCAAUCCGGUUGAACCAUGCUCUUGGUGCCUGCUUGAGUCCGUACAAACCUUUGUUGAGUUUGUAUACCUUUUGCUCCUCAUUCUGCAUCUCAUAACCUCUCGGCUGCUCAACAUAAACAUCUUCAGUUAAUUCUCCAUGAAGGAAAGCUGAUUUACAUCGAGUUGGAAUACACUCUAACCUCGCUGAGCUGCAAGAGCUAAGAUCAACCGCACUGUGUCCAUUCAAGCUACAGGAGGAUACACUUCUUUGUAAUCAACUCCAUGUUUCUGGGCAUAACCUUUUGCGACUAAGCGGGCCUUGUGCUUCUCCACUUCUCCAAGCUCAUUCAACUUUGUUUUGUAGACCCAUUUGACUCCUAUCCUCUUAGCUCCUUUUGGCAAGUCAGUUAGAAACCACGUCCCAUUCUUCUGAAUUGAUCUCAUUUCUGAAUCCAUAGCCUGCCUCCAUUUUUCAUCUUUUACUACUUCAUCAAAACUGGUCGGGUCGGAACUGGGCAGGUUAGAGCUAGUAAGCAAACCCAAGUGAGCUUGCACGUCUUCAUCGUUAAUGUCAUCACCAGUAAAAUAGUCUCGCAUCCAUACUGGUGCUCUUCUAUUGCGAAUUUCUCUUGCAUUUGAAGUUUCGGGAAUAUCAAGAUUUCCGGAGGUCUCGCUCCCUUCCGCAUCUUCACUCUCUACCUCUUCAUUACUGUGUUCUUCAUCUGCCCAUUCUAAGUCUAGCUUAAUCUGUUAUUCAUGGCUUGCAUCCCAGUUCCACUUCUUAUCUUCUUCAAAAACGACAUCUCUGCUAAUCACAAUUUGCUUCGACACUGGAUCAUACAGUCUAUAUCCCUUUGAUUCUUUGCUCACCCCAAAUAAAACACAGCUGCAACUCUUGUCUUCAAGCUUUGUUCGUCGAGCAUCAGGCACAUGAACAUGUGCUAUACUACCAAAGACUCUCAAGUGUUCUACAGAAGGCUUCACCCCGCUCCAAGCUUCCUCUGGCGUCAAGUCUUUCACUGAUGACGUUGGGCAUCUAUUAAGAAUAUAAAAUAUCCAGUUCACCGCUUCGGCCAGAACGUCUUCGGAACAUUGUUCUCAAUCAAUAAACUUCUCACCAUAUUCAUCACCGUCCUGUUCUUCCGUUCUGCGACACCGUUUUGUUGCGGUGUAUGGACAGUGGUCAAUUGUCUCUUGAUUCCAUUCUUUCUACAAUAAUCGUUGAAUUCACUUGAUGUGAAUUCUCCUCCAUGAUCUGUUCUUAAACAUUUAAUAGACAAACCAGUUUCUUUUUCUACACAACUUUUAAAUAACUUAAAAGAAGCAAAUGCAUCUGAUUUAUAAACAAGAAAAUGUACCCAAGCCUUCCUACUAAAGUCAUCGAUAAAACCAAUAAGGUACCUCUUGUGGCUGUGGGAAGUAGGAGAGAUUGGACCGCAAAUAUCUGCAUGAACUAGCUCCAACUUUGCUGAUGCUUUCCAUGUGCUUCUCGUCAGAAUAACGUCUCGGUGUUGCUACCCCUCCUUUGGUUCCUUCUUGAUUGGUUGUGUGUUUGAUAGCAAUACAAACAUUCUGUUGGCCGUCAUGUUGGUUUGAAUGAUCAAACCCUUUUUGGGAUGGUAGAUUCGGCACUGAUUGGACCGCAUUAGAAUGGCUAGUCCCUUUUCUUGCAGUUGUCCAACACUGAGAAGGUGACUCUUCAAUUCCGACACAUAAAAUACAUCUUUUACAAGAUAACUGACACCUUCCAAAGAUAAUCGCACACUUCCUUUGCCAACAACGUUCAUCCUCGUAUGAUUGCCCAAUCUGACCACUUUUUUGAAUCCUUCUUCUAAGUCACAGAAAGGAGAUGGAUCACCACACAUAUGGUUGCUGCAACCUGAAUCAAUGAACCACACAUCAUCUUGGUUCACUCCAUGUAACUCGACAUAGGCCAUAAGUACUCUCUCCUCUGACUCAUCCAAUUUUGCACAAUUUGCUUUUUUUCCUGAACUUGGACAUUCGUAUUGGAAGUGUCCGAGUUGAUGACAUUGGUAGCACUCAACAGUGGCCUUAUUGUAGUUAUGGAGACCCCUGCUUCUACCUCUUCCUCCUCUGAAAGUAGCUCUCCCACGUCCUCGUCCACCAUAACCUUCAUCAUGUGACACCUUGAGUGCGUGUUCCUCGUCUCCAUCCUUUUUGAACUUCUGCUCAUGAACAACUCUGCAAGGCAUCGACAGAUAGCCGAUCGAUAUCCUUUGCUUCUUCUAUGGAACAAAUAAUGUAAUUCCAUUUUUUGGUGAGAGUUCUCAAAAUUUUCUCAACUAUCUUGACAUCAGUCAUGUCUUCCCCACAAUUCCUCAUGUCGUUUGCAACCACCAUCACUCGACCAAAGUAGUCAGUGAUCGAUUCACCUUGCUUUAUUGCCAGAACCUCACAAUUCCUGCGAAGACAGUUGAGUUGAGCCCUUUGUACGCGAGCAUUUCCCUGACAUUUCAUCUUCAUGGAAUCCCAAAGUUGUUUGGAUGUCUCUUUUUGUGUGAUUGUCUUUAGAAUUGACUUGUCAAGGGAUUGAAACAAGUAAUUCUUGGCUUUGAGAUCUUUCAGCUUCAUCUCCUCUAGAGUUUUUCUCUGUGCAGCAGUCAGCACCUCUUCAUCACCAUGUUGUGAAUAACCGGAUUCCACAACAAUCCAAUAUUCCUUCGAACGGAGGAGAUUCUCCAUGACCAUGCUCCAGUGAUCAUAAUCACCAUCAAACUUCGGAAUAGAAGGUUAAGCAAAGCUAUUGUUUGUUUCUGACCCCAUCUCUUGCACACUCCCUUGUUGUCUCUCUAACUCACUCUUUCAAUCUCUCAAGUCAGGCUCUGAUGCCAGAAUGUUAAAUGCAAGCAAUUCAAGACAGAUAGCUAGAAUGCAAAGAACAACUCUGGAAUGAAUGACUUGUUUAUUGAAUGAGAAGCAACAGCUAUUAAAUAGCCUUUUACAGAAUGAAAUCUAAAACAAACUACACUCACGUUCGAACUAGAAUCGUAGUAACAAUCUUGACUAAAUCAAAUAUAACAGUCCCUAAAGAAUAGGACUUAUUAACAAACUAAAUCUUAUCACAAGUAAGCAACAGCUUCAAGGUUCAACCCUUCUAUUGGAGUCUGGUUACAAAAGUAACAAAACAAUAAUUAUCAAUCCUUGAAAUAUCAAAUCAAUUAAUUAGAAUGAAUUGAAAUUCGAAAUACUCACAUAUCAAUUAAUUGGAAUAUGUUGAUUUGAUAUAUAUGAUUAUUGACAAUGAUUCGAGGUGAUUCAAGACUAUAGUUGUACAAAUCUGAUUGUUGAUAUAUAUGAUUGUCGACAUUGAUGAUUCAAGAUUACCCUAAUUCCAUCUUUGAUGAUUGUUGAUGAUGGUGAGUGGUGGAGUGGUGGUGCUACAUUGGUGGUGUUGAGUCAGUUGAAUAAAAAGAAAAAGAAGACGAGAGGAAGAUGAAGUGUGAUUGUGAGAAGAAGAUGAAGUGUUAAUUUAUACCAUUGUGUGUGUUGAGAGAGGUAGAGAGAGUUGUUGUGAGUUAAAGAGAAAGUGAGAAACAUAGAAAGAUUGGGGAUUUAGGUUAGGCUAAACCAGACGGGGAUACGGAGCGGGGAACGGGGGCAGGGUUUUAAUCUAGAGUAUAAAACCCAUCCCUGUCCUAGUACUAAUUGGGGCGGAGCAACACAUUGCAGCAGGGCGGGGAGUAGGGCUGCAAUCUGAGCCGAGCGGCUCGGGCUCGGCUCGCUCAUUUAUCUAAACGAGCCGAGUUCGAGCCGGUUUUUGAGCUCGUCAUGAGCCCGAGCCGAGCUCGAGCUCUAAACUAGCCGAGCCGAGCAGCUCAUUAACUUUCUAGCUUCUCCAGCAAAAACAAUUGGGGGAAAAGCUUCAAGAGUUUGAAGAACAGUUUCAAGAUCUUGUUGGUUUGGGUAUUCUGGAAGUUGAAGAGCUUUCUUUGUUCUCCAACUAUCAAUUGACCAUUUUCCAGGUGUAGUAGUAGUUGUUGUUGUUGGAACAGGAGUUGCUGAUGAUUUGGUAUUCGUUGAUUUGGCUGGUUCAGCUGCAUGAAUGGCUGAGAUUGGUUUGAUAAUGGAUCUAGAAUAAUUGGUAGGAAGGAGAGAGAAUGAAGAAUGGUUGUUGGGUUUGGUUGAAGAAGAAGAAGAAGAUGGAAGAAGAGUUUUCGAUUGAAGAAGAGAUUUAGUUGAAACAACAGAACUACUUGUUAAAGCCAUUGUUGUUUCUUUCUUUCCUUCUUCUUCUCUGUUUCUCACACUUUCUUCUUUCUUUCUUUCUUUCUUUCAAUAACACUUCAAAUGGAGAAAGAGAAGGAAAGGCAGAGAGAGAGAAAGAGAGAGAGUUUGGUAAGAAUGAAGAAGAAGGUGAGCAGAGAUCGUAAUAAGAGAGGACACUUGAUCGACCUUGUUAUAUAGAUUUCAUUAGUCAACCUAACCAAACGAGCUCUAAACGAGCCAAACGAGCCAGCGAGACAAACGAGCCAGCGAGCCGAAACGAGCCGAGCUCGACCAAUAGCUAUAUAGUUCGGUUCGGUUUCGGUUCGGUCUUGACCGGUUUUUAGUCAACUCGGUUUUGACCGGUUUUAACUCGGUUAGUAACGAGCCGAGUUCGAGCAUACCUUAGCUCGGCUCGAGCGGCUCGAAUUGCACCCCUAGCGGGGAGAUGAAAAAUGGGGCGGGGACCGGAUUGGGGUCGGGUCACGGGGCAGGUUCAGCACCCCUAAUUCGUUCUACUACAACUUUCAUCAUCACUCAUCACUGUGACUCAAUCAAGUAAGGUUAUUUCUUCUUCACCAAUUUUCCCAUUUGGAAGUUAGUUGAAUUGAGGGUGUCCCACACGUAUAGGAAGGCAAGAAGAAGGUGAUAGUGAAGCUUCCAGUAAACUAACAUCAACUUGAAUUGGAAUCAACGCGGUGUCCUUCACCGCGUUCCAAAGUCCCAAACCAUUUGUAUAAAUACAGAAGAAGAGAGUGAGAGAGUCUAUGAAUUGGGUGUGCUUAAGUCUCUGAUCGACUACAAGUCUUCCCACUUCAUUUACAUACAGGUAUGUAAUCUCAAAAUCUUCAUCUCUUGUUUGAGUUUUUUAGUCAACUUCUCAUUUAUGAAUUGGGUCCAUAACAACAACAAAUCAUUUAACAUGAGUGUAUACUAUAUACUAUAUAAUUUUUGAUUUUUUUUUUUUUGUUCUAUAUUUUAUUUUAAAAGAAAAGGGUGUUCUAUUAAUCUAUCUUAUUUUUUGCUGGUUAUCACAGACUUGGUUGAGUCGUCCUAUACUAUUUGAACGUCAACUUGGUGUGGCUGCUACUUCUAGUUGUAUUCUGUCAGCUCCUAUCAUGGGCGACAUUAACAAUGCUGCUAAUCUUGAGCAAAAUUUCACAAUGUUGUCGGUUAAGAUGGUUGAUCUGGUUAAUCUGAAGGACAGAGUGAAAAGAAGAAACGAACUAUAUCCAGAGGACAUGGAUGGGUGGGUGCAUAAUGCAGAGGACAGAGAACGUGAAGUGGCGGAAAUAAGAAGUAAGUUAGAUGAACUACAAUUACAUAGUUUUCAAUAUAUUAGAAAUGUGAAUUACAGAUCCAAACUUAACCAAAGAGUGAUUGAAAAUCUAAAUGCUGUGAACAAUUUAAUAGCAGUGGGUAAUUCCAGUCCAGCAUCAAUUCGCGCAUUUUUAAGUGAAAUGGCAAUUGGUCAACCUAGGGAAUUUUCUCGAGCGGAGAUUAUGAUCAUUACAUCACAUUUAUCUGAAUCCAAUAUAAUACGCUCUGAUUUGUUUGGAAAUGUCUAUAAUGGUAAGUUUCGCAAUGGUAAGCAAGUAAGUGUUAAGGUACUAAGGGAUAAGGAUGUGAGUCAAGGGAUAUUCAAAUCUGAGGUGAGAUCAUUGAGCAAUGCUUCCCAUCGGAACUUACUAAAACUUUAUGGGUAUUGCUUUGAACACAACACCAUAGCACUUGUUUAUGAAUAUAUGGAAAAUGGGACAUUUGAUAAAAUAUUGUAUCAAAAUCCCCUUAGUAUAGAGUGGGAUAAGUUUUAUGGUAUUGCAAUUAAGACAGCAAAGGCAAUCGCAUAUUUGCAUGAUGGUUGUGAUGACCAAAUCAUUCACCAUAACAUAAACGCUGCUAAUGUGCUUCUUGGCGAAUACUUUUCUCCGAAGGUUGCAGAGUUUGGAUUGGCAAAGCUCAUCAAAGAAGGUAGGACUCAUUUAACCUUGACCAAUCCCAGAGGAACUCCUGGUUAUGCUGCCCCGGAGAUGUGGAUACCAUCAUCACGAAUAACUUGUUCAUCUGAUGUUUACAGCUUUGGUAUGAUGUUGUUUGAAAUUCUUGGGAUGAGAGAAAACUUCAAGAAAGGUCAAGUUUGGUUUCCACAACAUGUUUGGAACAAGUUUAAAAGCGAUCAACUAGACGAUCUUUUAGUGGAGUGUGGUAUAUAUGAAAAGGACAAAAUAGAAGCAAAGACAUCAGCUCUGGUUGCAUUAUGGUGUGCUCAAUUUAAACCUCAACUAAGACCUUCCAUGAGCACUGUGGUGAAGAUGCUUGAGUUGGAAAUUCCAGUUAAGAAUCAAAUUCCCAAUCCAUUUAAGCGUUUCCGAUCACCUCAAACCAGUCUUCACGGCAGAUGAAGAGUAUUGGAGGGGUAUUGGUGGAAAUAUGAUUUGUGGUUGAUCACUUGUGAUUUAAACAGUAGUAGAAUCUUAUUUUGAAGUUCAAAGACCAUGGGGAUACAACAUUACCCAAUUCAUUCUGUAAUUUUUGCAGAUUGGAUUAAACAGAUUUGGUUCAUUCCUGUUGUUGUUUUUAUUUGUUGUAUACAUUUAAGUUGAAAGUGAGGUCCCCUCAUUGCCUCACUCAUUUUAAGCUGGCUUUGUAAAAAUAUGCUUAUAAGAAAAAGGUUGAAACUUUCAACUGCAGCUAAGUUUUGUUCUCCUAUAUGCUGAAUUUUAGACUCAUUCAUUUCCAAAACCAGACUAUCACCCACCCAAUAGAUUAAUUAGUGGUUCAUACACCCUGCAAAGUGGUUUAUUGACAAAGACUUUUCUCGACAAAGACUUCUUAUUUUGUUAAAAAUAAAAUUUUGCAGCCCUCAAUUAUUGGUGAGAUCUCUGAUUCAGUUGUGACACAAUCCCACAAUGCCAAAGGCAAUACAGUUAGUUCAUGAACAGUACCAGAUUCCUUCUCCGAAAGAGGGGGUGGGGUUUGGCAGACCCCUACCUGUUAAUUAAAAUAUAGCAAUGAAAAUCUUUUGAGGAGGACAUUGGGCCUUACCUCUUACAAAAUUAAACAUCAGGAGUUGCCUAGGCCUAAACAAAACAUUACAACUAAAAUUGAAAGCAAUAGAAAGUCAGCUCCUAGAAAAUGCGCCAAAAGCUGAAGAGCUUUGAAUAGGUGGUUGGGGAUGUCAAAAUAUAACACCUUGCUCCCAUCUCCCCACUACCUAUUCCUGCAGACAUCUGUAGACCAUGUCUUCCUCCUUCAUUGCUUCUUCUGAUUCCACUACAAGUGUGAAUAUUGCUCUGGUUGAGGAUCAAGUCUAUGAGGCAGUUAGGCGAUCUCUGUGUCCUUUCCACUUUGAGGGUUUUGAGGACUUCCAAGCUGGGGUAAGUGAGUUGGCUGAGGAUGUUGGUGGAGUUGUCGCUGAGAUAAGAGAUUUCAUGUUUUCUGUAUCCCUCAACCUCCUGCCAAGGUUGGGAUUGAGAACUGGAAUCGGCUUGAGGAAUGGUUGGGAACGGAAACUGGGGAGUGGGUUAGAGCUCUUUGUAGGCCAUGGUGCUAUUAUGUUAGGUAUGGGAUUGAAACUUGUCAUUCUUGCAGAGAAGCAUCUACUGUUCCUGGGUUUGGGUAUGUUGAGGCUGAGAAUAGAGAUGAUGUUGCUGAAGAGGCUGACCAAGAGGAGGCUAAUGUUCAGGGAAAUGCUGGAGCUGGAGAGGUUGAAGAUCCUGGUCCUUCUGAUAAUGAUAGUGGUGAGGAGAGGAAGGCCAAGAAACCAAGAGUCUGAAGUUAUGCUAAUCUGAGUAUUCUGUAAUCUGUUUGUUUGAUGUAUUCUCCUUUCGAUGUAGUAAACUCUCAAUCUCCUCCAAGGAAUUGAGCUAUAGUUUUGCAAAUCUGAAUUGAGGAAUAUUGUUCUUAUCUCCAUUUAGAAUUUGUAGAAAUUCUGCAUCUUGAUGUCUAUUCACUGCUCCAUCACAUUGUAGUUUAAUUCCCAUCUUAGACAUAUAAUCUGCUGCAGAAUUUCCUUCCCUGUAUACAUAUAUGGUUACAUAUAAUCUCCAUUCCUUUUGCAAUUGUGUGAAUUUGUUUCCACCAUUUAACAAGUGACCAUGGAAUGCUUGCCUGCUUGUGGAACCAUAGGAUUGUAAGACUUGAAUCAGCUUGUAGGUGUACUCUAUUGUGUCCCAGCCAUAAGCAUAGCUUCAGACCAUCUAAUAUGGCUCUUGUUUCUGUCAGGUUAUUGGUUCCCUGUCCAUAGAAAGAGAAAAAAUUUGCCACAUGUACCCUCCUGGGUUCUAAUAACUCGCCCACCAAAAGCUACUCCAUCCUGACAAGCCCUAUCUGUGUUCAGUCCAAUGAAGCCAUCCUGAGGUCUACUCCAUAGGACUAGGGUUGGUAUUGAGAGUGGAAGAUUUUUGGGGCUUAUCUUUAGAACUUGAGCAGCUUCCUCAAACUUCUGACAAGAUCUUUUGUUUGGGACAUAGUGCUCACACAACCUUGCAAGCCAGAACUUGAUUUUCAAAAUAAUCUGCUUGCUUGCAUGUUGUGAGUGUUUAUAUCCAUCUUCAUACCUCCUACUGCAUCUCUCCUUCCAUAUUUCCCAUAGAAUAAAAAGAGGAGUUAGGGUACAGCAAAGGAACUCCAUGGAACCAGACUUACUCUUUUUAAACCAGCUUCCAAGUAGUGCACCAAAAUUGUAGAACCUUAGAAGCUUGAUGUCAAACAGACCGUGGAAAAAGUUCCAAACUGGUCUGGCCAGUUCGCUCCUUAAGAACAGAUGUGAAGAAGAUUCCAUUGUAUGAGUCGCACAACAGCUGCAUCUAGAUACCAUGUGAAUAUAACAUUUCAUAACACCUACAUCUGUUGGAAUGGCACCAUUUAGCAACUUCCAUAUAAAGAAAGAGAUUUUUGUUGGCACAAAGUGGUGCCAAAUUCUCUUCAUGACCGGAAAGACAGGCUUUGAUUGAUGGCACAAAUGCACAUAAGAUCUGAUAGAGAACUCUCCAGAAGAGGUGAAAGGCCAGAUUCUUCUAUCCCUUUGUAUAUCUUGAUGGAGAGUGCGAUAUGCAUCUCUUAAAACCACCCUUUGUUCUUGAGUGAAUAUAGGGAUGUUAAAAUCUGCAUCUUUUGCCUCUUGUAGAGAAAGUCCUGCAAAAAUCCCUGGCUCAAUAGCUGGCACAAUGCAUCCUUCUUCCAUCCAGUUUUCACCUAGCACAUUGAACUGGAUCAAUUUUAUGCUUUUGAGUGAUCUGUGCUUUAUGUACUUGUCUCUCAUGAACUUGGCCCAAAGAGUGUUUGAGUUGACCAAGUUCCAUGUGGAUUUCAUUCGAUAUGCUUUCAGGACCUGCUUCAAUGGCCUGAUUCCCAGGCCUCCUUCCUCAAUUGGGCAAGUUAUCUUAGACCAAGACACCCAUUUCCUUUUCCCUUUGAAAUCAGAGCUCCUCCACAGGAAAUUAGAAAAAAAGUGAUUCAAGUAUCCUGAUCACUAUUUUGGGUACAGAAAAAGCCGAGAAGAGAUAGAUGGGCAUACUCUGAAGGACAUGCUUGAGCAGAAUUAAUCUUCCUCCAUGUGACAACAUUUUCUUCCUCCAUCCAUCCAUCGUAUUUCUUACUUUUGUAAUAAGUCCUUCAAACUAUUUUGUCUUGGCUUUUUCUUGAAAAAUAGGAACUCCUAGGUAUAUCAUUGGAGAUUCUUUAUUUCUGAAGCCUGUGGAAUGUUGCACCAUAAGGAUUCUAUCCAUAGGGGUCUUUGUUUCCCUCACAAAUGUACUCUUUGAGGCAUUUAUUUUCUUUCCAGAACAUCUGCUGUAGCGUUCUAGAAAACUCAUGCACCCCUCUAUCGAACUUUUCCUGCCAUUUAAAAACACGAGAGUAUCAUCAGCAUAUAAGAGAUGAGUAAUAGGGUCACAACUUCUAGGAGUAGUGUAAGUGCAUAUCUUUUCUACUUGAAACUCCUGGAUUAACUCUCUACUCAAGACUUCUAAAGCUAGGAUAAAAAGGAAUGGUGACAAAGGGUCACCCUGCCUGAUCCCUCUGGACGAUUUGAAACUGCCUUUAUAGCUCCCCUAAAACAAGAUAGAAAAUGUGCACUGCUCUAUACAGGAGGAGAUCACCUGAAUCCAGUUGGCAGAAAAUCCAAAGUUAGCUAACACAGAUUUGAGAUAUUGCCAUUCUAUUCGACCAAAAGCUUUCUCCAUGUCUAAUUUCAUUACCAAAUUUCCACCUUGAACUUUCCUGCCAAUGUUUUGCAUCAUUUCCUGGGCUAGACCUACAUUCUCAGUAAUCAGUCUACCUUUGACAUAGGCGCCCUGCUGGGGAGAGAUAAGCUUAGGUAAAAUGCUUGUAAGCCUAGAUGUGAGAAUUUUGGAGACUAUCUUGUAACUGACAUUACACAAGCUGAUAGGUCUGAACUCUGCCAAGGUUGUUGGAGUGUCCUUUUUUGGAAUUAAACAAAUGAAAUUGGCCAAAAAGGAUGUUGGAAGACUGGCGCCUUGGAAAAAUGCUUGUAUAGCAGCUACAGUAUCCUUCUUAACUAUCUCCCAGCAUUUCUGGUAAAAAAGGGAGGUCAAGCCAUCAAGACCUGGUGCACGAUCUGGUGCAAUUCCAAAGACAGCCUCUUUUAUUUCCUCCUCAGAUGGUAUAUCAUUAAGCAUAAGAUUAUCCUCCUCUGACAUUAAAGGCUUGAUCACUCCCAUAAUAUUCUCAUCCCUUUGCCACCCCUGUGAUGAAAGUUGAGCAUCAAAAAAUUCAACUGCUUUGGUGUGAAUCUCUUCUAGGUCACUGCACCAUUGGUCUGGCUCUUCUGUGAGUAAAAGUUUAUCCACCACAACUUUCCUUCUUGCAACAACAGAGGUAUGAAAGUACGUUGUAUUUUUUUUCCACCUCCAUCAACCAUUUUUCUCCAGACUUUUCCUUCCAAAACUGUUCUUCUUGGAUCAAAGCUUGUUGAUAUAGUGCUUGUUGUUUCUUCAGCUCUAUCCAUACCUCCAUAUCCCAGGAAGCUAUCAGAGAUUGAUCUAGUUCCACUAUCCUGUCCUCUGGUGCCUUGAUCUAUUGCUGAAUAUUACCAAACACAUGCUUGUUCCACCAUUUUAGCCUAGAUUGAAUGUUCCUGAUCUUUACCUCAAACAUGUGUAUGGGGAGUGGAGAAUACCCAGCUGAAUCCCAGUUGUCUUGGAUGAAUUGCAUGAAGCCUUCAUGAGAGAUCCACAUUUUUUUAAAUCGAAAUGGGUGUUGCUCAUUCCCAUGCUUCUUGUUUUUACCCCUAACAAUCAAUGGCAAGUGAUCAGAGUUGACCCUUGGCUCAUGCAGCACCUCAAUGGGUGGAAACUCAUUUGCCCAGAUUGUGAUUGUAAAAACUCUAUCUAGUCUAGCCCAACGUCUUCUUGUGCCCUGCUGAUUGUUACACCAAGUAUACUUUGAUCCAAUGUAUCCACAAUCCAUAAGACCACAAUUAAGAACAAAGUUAUUGAAGUCUUCUAUCGAGUUGAGAGAAGCUUGUUCCCCUCCAAGUCUUUCAUCCAAGGACAAAACUUUGUUAAAAUCUCCUCCUAUAAUCCAUGGAGUUGUUGCAGAAGCCCCAAAGUUGAAAAGGUUCUGCCAUAAGAGCCUCCUCUCUACAUUUGGACACUUAGCGUAUACAAAAGAUGCUAGAAAGGAUUUUUGGGAAGUGGUAUGAGUGAUGUGUAGGUUACAAGCUUGGCUGCAUUCACUAAUCUUCUGAACAACAAGUUGAUCAUUCCAAAAAAUCCAUACUUUGCCUUGACUAAGGUCAUUGGACGUGUGAUCUUGUAAACCCAUCGAAUUAGCCACCCUACUUAAUUUCCUGAUAUUGAUCAUAGGCUCCAGUAUAACGAACAUAUAUAAGGGGAAUGCUCUCUGAUAAUUUUCUUAACCCUUCUCAUAGUUGGCUUAUUCCCCACUCCUCUUGCAUUCCAUAUAGUUAUGGCUUGCAACAUUUAAAACUAUGGGGCUUUGAGGAUUGGGGGGGUUGGCUUUUUGACCUUGUCAUCAUGCCUGAACUUUUGGGAGGUAGGAGAGCCCUACCCCUUCUUCUAUUAUCCACUUAUGCAUCUGAUCAUAUAAUUUCCAAUUCUUGACUCUCAAAAUCUUGAUCAAGGUCUUGAGUUUCCAAGGCUUGGAGCUGGUGAAGAUCAUAUCCAGUUUCUUGAGCGAAAGGGAUGAUUUCUGUAUGUUGCAAUGUUAUAGGAGGCUCCAUCCCAGUGCUCUCAGUCCUCUCACAUGAUGAUGGUGGGGCAAUGAUAAUAGCCAGGGGGUUGAGGUCUUUCCUAGAGUUGUCAUCUUGCACCGCUGGUGGAGUGCCAGGGAAUUGAUUUUGCAAAUUGACCCCUUCAAUCUCUGGAUUUGCUUGGGAGGUAGCUUGGGAGGUAGUACCCGCUUGCCCGUUUGGUGCUUCUUCUUCCUCUAGAUUCGCUAACAACCCAAAGGCGUUUUGAGGGGUUAUAUUGGUCUUAUCGGCUGACAAAGUUGCCAGAUUAUCUGAGGUUUCUGGAGUCACUUCCUCCAAUGGUUGAAUUACCUUUUCUUUACCUUUGUCAGCUGGAAGCAUAUCGAGAUCCACUUCCUCUCCAGGGACGUCCUUAGUUCCACUAGUUCCAGCUUGUAAGUUGGUACUUCUGAUGACAAGCCUGUAGUAUUGUUUCUUUCUCUGUUGUAGCCAGAUAGGGUUUCCAUUUUUGGGAACAGCUAUGUUUGAACCAGAGUGUACUUCUUUAGCUUUUCCUUUCUCCAUGGUUUUCUGUUUUCUUCUACUGCAGUUUUCCAGUGCAUGCCCAAUUUUGCAACAAUGUGAGCAGUAUAAGAAGUUAGGGUAAUGAAGGUAUUGCCAGAAUCCAGCAAAGUUAGCCCCUUCUAUCCAUAUAGACUCUGGCAUAUCCUCUUGCACAUUCAUCUCUACACAGAUUCUAGCCGCACCAGGUUUGGUUCUAAGAAUAGUAUCCUUAGCAAUAGACAAGAAUUUUCCUAUGUUAUCUCCAAUGGCUUUGAGGGUUGUUGGAUGGAAAAAAUCCAAGGGUUGCACAUUCAUCUCUACACAGAUUCUAGCCGCACCAGGUUUGGUUCUAAGAAUAGUAUCCUUAGCAAUAGACAAGAAUUUUCCUAUGUUAUCUCCAAUGGCUUUGAGGGUUGUUGGAUGGAAAAAAUCCAAGGGGAGUCCAGGAAGAUCCACCCAUACAGGAGCCAAGGCAAGCACAUGCCUGGGAUCACGCAGUCCCAUGGUAAAACCCCCAACCACAUUCCAUUCCCUGGUGAUGCAUCCUUGAGAGAAAGCUUUUGUAACUUCUUCUUCUAAAUAAUGAGGAGAUAAGAUUCUGUCCACGUUCUAUAGCUUCUCGACUGAAAGAGAUAGCCAGUUUUCCGUCCUUUUUGAAGGUACGAUGGUUCGCAGGUGUCAGAUCAAGAGGUUUAGGUAUUAUCUGCUUAAAAAGAGACUCAAAAGAAGGAUUAGUAGAUGAACCAAACAAGGCUCCUUCGUUCCCUGCUUGUUCCGAGGUGAUAGCCAUGACAAAGAAGACUCGAAACCCUUAAAAUAACAGAGAACGCAAAAAUCGCCCAAAGUUUUCAUCCAUUAUUAGGGUUUUAAGGUUUUCUCAUAGAUUCCUUCUAUUUGUGUUCCCCCUGCAGCAAAUUGCCUCAAACUCAAUGUGGACAUCACUUUCACAACUCCAACUUAUAAAUAUGGUAUUAGAUAUGUUGUUAGAGACUCAGCAAGUCAGUUUGUCAUGGCAGGAAUAGGGACAACUUAUGUUGGAUCGACAGGUGCAGCAGAUGUGUAAGCGGUCUUUCUGCCUAGAUCUUGAGAUCAGUGAGGCCAAUGAAGAAUGGUUUAACUCCUUCGUCAUCAUCUCUGUUACCUGUAAAAUAUUCCGGGGUUGUUCCCGACGUUAGCACUCCAACGCUCAAGUCAGAUAGUGUAGAUGAAGAGAAGAAGAAAGAGAAAAUGUGUUGAGUGAAGUGAUGGAUCAUACCUUGUGUUUAGGGUUUUGCCCCUUAUAUACUAUUCAUACCGUGUAUGUAAUGUAGGCUGUGAGAUCUUAGAAGAUCUGACAGUUGUGAUGUAGAGACGUGGAAUUCUGCCUUCCAAGUAUUCUCUGUCAUGACUCAUCUCACGUGAUUGCCACGUGAGCCGUACAGUCUGUUUUGUCUGAGUGAACCUACAUCGCAAGCUAUUUUACUAGGUUGAUUCGUUAGAACCGAGUAACUCGUGGAAUCUGGUAUAAUUAUGUACUUACAUCGCCCACUUCUCUGGGCUGACGGAUUUCUCGUCUGCCAAGAGAAAUAUAGCCACAUGGAAUUAUAAAAAAUUCCAUAGAGCUCAGUGUUCGCGGAGCUCCCAGAGUUGCAAAAUAAAAUAGUGUCGAACGUUAAAGAACUGUCGUACCUGACAGACUUCCUGGUUGAGUUCAAGUCGAGAUCUCGGUCCUACUGGAAUACUGUGCGAGAAUUUUUCAUAAACAUACAAUAUAUAAUAAUGACUUAUAAAUUAAGCUUCAAUGUUACCUCUAGAGAAACUAUACAGUUCUCCUUGUAUUAGUGUAUUAGUCUGUUUUCACGGGCAUGGUGAAAAAAAUAAUAAACUGCCUGCGCUAGCAAAGUAGCUGCGUACGUACCCAAAUAGGGAUCAAGCCACCGUAGUUCUGUUUGUCAGGCGUGUCUGCCUUAGUUUGCUGAUAGCUAGUUUUUUUUUUUUUUUUUUUUUUUUUUUUUUUUGUAAUGUAUAUGAAUGUAAUAGCGAUGUAUCUACCCUCUUUUGCUUACUCUGAUUUUUCUAUAAAUAGAGAAAAACAAAAAUAAAAUUAUAAAUAAGACAUACCGGUGUUACCGGCAUUGUCGGUCCUGUCGUUUGCUUGGAUUAAUAAGUAGUUCCAAUCUAUUUCAAACUACGGCGACUAUAAUAAAUGAACAAACCAUAUAGAAUUUGAGUGAUAGUUGAUCUUCUAGAUAUAACGGAGCACCACGCUUAAACUGAAAACUUUUUCAUCCUUAGAAAAUGUUGAAAUAAAAAAGAUCUUAUUAAAUGAUUCAAAUUAGAUUGUUGUCUGGCAGACGCAGAAUGACAUCCUUGAACUUGUGGUAUAUCAAAAUACUGGAAUUGUAAUCCGUAUUGAACGAGAGAACCGUGUAGUCUGACAAGAGUUUUGCCUUUUUAAAAGUAUAUUCAAUAUCAUCUAGGUUCCACGGAGUUGCCUUGUCAACCCAUAUAGUGUGCAUGUCGGAGUACACAGGGUGAUUUUCCCGAAGAAGAUGAUGAGAAAAUUCCAUAUCCUAAAAGACCAUUCACAAGGGAAUUUUUCCGAUAAAAAGAAACAACUCUGUACUCGCCCCCAAGUCUGUUACAUACGUAGAAUACAAUAAUGAUUCCCAAAUUAUAAUUGAGAAUGAAAAUAUUUACAUUAUCAAGUAGUCCUUAAAUCAGAACUUCAGAAGAUCAUGCUAAUAGUUGUCUGAGAAUAAACCUUCACAUGAAAAUAUAUGAAACGUGAGACUGUUACUGCUGCAAUGGUUGUAUGCUCAGAGUAUAUUGAACGUGUUGUGUAUUGGCUCGCAAUGCGCAGGAUCAUAGCUUAUAUUAAGUGAGGUUUAUAGGAUCAAAUCUUAUGUUUGUUUCUAGAAACAAUGUAUAUAGGAAUUAUACUCUUAUAAGUACUUGGUAUUCUAAUUGGUAAUUGGUAUUGUUAUCCAAUUUGGAUCCUUGUAUGGCCGGAUUAGGAACUCUUGGGUAUUAUAUACUCAACUAGUUGGCUAUUGUAAAAUGGUGGUAAGAAGAAAGGGUGAACCAAAGGUGAAAGCAUUACUAGAUAGAGAGAGAGAGAAGGGGAAAUUUAUGAAGGUUUUCAUAAUAGGGUUUCUCAGGUUCUAGUGUAAGAGAGAAAGAGACAAGGAAUUAUAGAUUUGUAAUAAGGUUUUUUCUUUUCUUGAUUAGUGAAAUCUUCUUGAUCGGUUGCCGGGUGGGGUAGGCGGGUUUGCCAAACCACGUUAAUAUUGGUGUUAUUGUGUGUGAUUAUGUUUUUUUGAUUACUUUCUCUGUUAUUUGUUAUUAUCUAGAUUAUCGGUAUUACAACUAAUCCUUGGGUUAAGCUUCUAUUGCACAACAAGUGGUAUCAAAGCAAGGUUCUAGGUUGUAGCGAUUUUCGAGAUGGCGCAAAGGGUUUCAAGUUUAGGUUUGAAGUUUGAUGUAGAAAAGUUCGAUGGAAAGAUGAAUUUUGGUUUGUGGAAAGUACAAGUCCAAGAUCUCUUGGUACAAUUAAUCCGGGCUACACAAAGCAUUAAAGGAAAACCGGCGGAUAUGUCAGAUGAUUUUUGGGAAGAAUUUGAUUUGAAGGGUAUUAGUGUGAUUCGAUUGUGUUUAACGAAUGAGGUCUUGUCAAACGUUCUCACAGAAAGUUCUUCGGUAAAACUUUGGUUAAAGCUUGAAAGUUUGUAUAUGACAAAGUCGUUAUCAAAGCAAUUGUACCACAAGAAGCAACUUUACAGAUUGAGAAUGGCAGAAGGUACAGGUAUUAAUGAAAUCUCAGUGUCUUCAUAACAUGCUUUCUGAAUUGGUUCAUGUUGGAGUGAAGUUAGAGGAUGAAGAUAAAACACAUCUACUUCUGAACUCCAUGCCCCAAUCCUAUAAGCAUAUUAUCACCACGUUGCUCUAUGGAAAGGAAACUCUGGAAUUGGAAACUCUCGAAAAUUCUUGCGGGGUUUUGUUCCUUUCUUCAUCCUCUUCAAAUCUAUACCAAAAUCCCCCAUUAUCAUGCCUCCUAGACGUAGAGAGAGAGAGAGUGAUUAUCCGAGAGCGCGAUUACUCGCGUCUCUUCAAUGAUAAUCGAUUUGGGAGCACUUUUCUUGAGAGGAUUCAUGCCCGAGGCUGGGAUGUACUCCUUGGCUCAGACUAUGAGCCAUUUGAUCCUCAAAUGGAUCGUCAUUUCUAUGAGUCAAUGGAGUUGGCCGAUGACGGCGUGUUCAUCAACUGGGAUCCUGCCCAUCGUUACCUGCUGACGCCUGAGACUGUCUCCAUAGUCACGGCGCUAGAGAUGGACGAGGCUCCACUGCAGCAGGAGGCUCCACCGGUGACACCAGACGUCAUCGAGGCCGUCCUUGGAUGAUUUGGUGCUUCAUCGGUAUAGCAGCCAUAUCUCGAUCUGUUGGCUCCGAGUCAACCAAGGCUUGGUGGCACACUGGCUGACCACCAAUGUCCUUGGGACGAUAAGGACGAGCGAGCUAUUCUCGGAGGGUAUCCAUAUCCUCCACCUGCUUCAGGAGGAUGUCUAUGGCUACUGUAUGGUCCGCCGUCUUUUUGCGACUAUCACCAGUGCCCGAGCCACUUCUGCUCCACUUCCUAGCCUGGUGAUGGCUAUUCUGCGCUACUGGGAGGCGCCUCUUCUUCCUGCACUCUCUCUGGAGUCGGUCGUCCGACUCGAAGUCUCCAACCCUGGGCUGUCAGCCUGUCGACAGCUGUUGUGGGACCCACAGGCAGAGGUGCCCGUCCAGUACAGGCCCGGGGACCAACGGGCGUUCUUUUCACUCCAUACCAACGAGGAGCGGUUCCAGCUUCUCUGGAGGGGUAUGGGUGAGAUUUUGACUGCAGUCGAGGACUUGCAGCGUCGCUUCGAUGAAAGCCAAGGGCAAUCUCGUCGUCGACGGGGUUGAUUUUCAUUUUUGUUAUUAGCCAUUGUAUUUUGCUUAUGUAUUUUAUUUUGAUUUAGCACUCUUGUAAUAAAAUUUUCGAUCAUUGUACUUUAUUUCAAAAAUUUAAUGAAAAUGGUUGAAAUUUGAAUUAUCUUGUCAACUUGUCCUUUUAUGAGAUUUUUAGCCAUUCUUGGGCUUUAUUGCAAAAUUUUUGACUCUUGGAGUAAAUUUUGAAAUUUUUUUGGUCCUAGGGACCUUAGUCCAAAUAUUUUUAUUAGAAAGGAAGUUAGGGUUUGAUUUUUUGGAAACCCUAUGGUAUUAGGCAACUUUUGGAGUCCUACUAGGGCUCAAACUCUUAAAAUCUAGCCUGUAUAUACCACACCAUAGUUAGAGGACCGUCACUUAAAAAAAUCAGAUUUCAAAAAGUUUUUUAUUUUCUGGUUUUGGCCCGAACUCGACUCGAGUUCCUUAUAGGCCAUUUCAAUCUCGACUCGAGAUUGGACCUGGUAGCAGUUUUCUGGGUUUGUUUUGAGUGAUAUUUUCUCGGUUUUCGUGCUGGUUUUUGGUGUUUUCUUCCUUCUUUUGCAAUGGCUAAAGAUCAGAAUGAGUUGUGGAUGAUCGAUGGCAUGGACAUCGUCCCCGAGAUGGAUUUUUCGGGAAUUAUGGAUAGUCCUUAUGGAGCUUCCUUUAGGGAUGGGAUUUUCGACAAAGGUUGGGAAGGUUUUCUUUAUGAUUCUACUGCUGUGUAUUCCCCUUCUAUGGUAAGAGACUUUUACCGUACGUUCCCCUUUGGUAAUGUUAUUCCCUUUGAUGGUUUCAGAGUUACUAUGCAUGGGUUCCCCGUCUUAAUCAAUUCUUUUGCCAUCCUCGGGCAUUGGGUGUUCCACUCCAAUUGCAACCUGUCUAUUCACAUCCUGAUUACUUCCUUUCCAAUCAUGUUGACAUGUUGGAUAAUUACCUAGAUCACUUUGGCCCUUGCACUUUUUCCUUCCAUCCUGAGAACUAUGCUAAUGUGGCGCCUACCAUUUGCCUACCUGCUAAUGUAGCUAUUGCUGCUUUUAUGAGUCAUGAGAAAUCUCUUAGGUUGGACUAUGUCAAUGAUAACACUAUGCAUGUUGUUUACGGUAUUGUUAAUAAUUUUAGAGCUCUUGACAUAGGUUCCUGGUUAAUGGAUGGCAUAAGAAAUAUUUUUGGGAUCGGUCAGCUAAUUUACCCAACUGCUAUCUGUAAGAUAAUUCUUAAUACCUAUCCUGAUUUGAGGACUAGGUAUAAUGAUUGGACUCACCUUAUCCCUAUGGAUCCUACACACCGUUAUAUCAGGAAAGGUCGCCUAUUCACAUGGGUGCCUAAUACUAUAUAUGUAGAGUUUCCAGAGUUGCAUCGAAAUGAUAAUUUUAUGGAUAAUGGUGAGGGAUCUUGGAAUGUGGUCAAAGAGGCAUUAACCCUAUGGCGUGAUGAGAUGGAUGGUUUGCCAAGGAAGGUUGCUUGAAAACAUGAGUGUAAUGUAGGAUUUCCUUUUUUCUUGAGUCAGUCCUUUAUUUCAGUAUAUUUUAUUUCAGUUGUGUCAUAGUAUGGAGUUCCUCGUAAUCUCUAUAUAGAGAUAAUUUUGUUUGACAGGAAUUUAUAAAGCGGUUUGAAUUUUUAGCACACUCAUGGUAAUAUUUUUCUCUCUCUCUUUCCUAUGCUUAGUAUGAGCCUUGAGGACAAGGCAAUCUCUUUGUUUGGGGGUGGGGAAGUAUUUCAAUCCUUUUUGCAAAAGAUUUUCAAACUUCUUUGUCCAUACUUAUGUAAAAAUUCAAAAAAAUUGAGAAAAAUCAACAAAAAUUCUUUCUUUACAAAGACUUUUUUCAAAAAUAGGAUAAGUACACCAUCAUUGAUGAACAUAAUGGUUGAAUUUCAUUUCAAGUUUAAGGACACUUAUUGUUUCACCAAGUAGUUGAGUCUUAUACUACAUUUGCAUGAGCAUAAGCAUGACAUUCAUAUGUAUUUAUUAUAGAUUACAUGUGCAAAUACGACUACACCUUGAGAAACUUGAGGAAUAAGUGUAGAGACUUAACCCAGUGAGCUUUUGUGCCCCGUCCUUUUCUUGGAGAGUUAUCACGUACAUCUGGAGUCAAAAGACUCAACCUCUCAGUUUUUUCUGUUUUUAGUCUCAUAUUCAUUUUUAUAGUUAGCUUUGAGAUGACAUCAAGUGGGUGUAAUAUAAACUUGGGUCUUGUAGCUUAUUCAAGAUGUGAUCACCAUAUAAGUACUUAGAGAUGAUACAAAGACCUUUAGAUAAACCCUGUUUACCUUAGCCUACCCUGAUGACAUUUUAUUCCCCUAGGUUAACCAUUCUGAGCCUUUCCUUGUUACUUAGCCUUUUUCUUGAGCCCAAUAUCCUUACCCAACUCCAUUGUAGGAGUAAAUACCCUUAGAAGGUUUUAGGUCUUUUUACCUAUGUUUUGGGAACAUAGGGAUGAUUGUUUAUGUGGUUACAAAAAGAAAUGAGAAAUACAAAGAAAUCUCCAAACUAGUGAGAUGAACCAAAUGUUGAAAAUCAAAAGUUUGAAGAAAUUCCAGAAAAAACCAGAAUCUUCCAAACAAUUCCAAAUCCAAAAAGAAAGGAAGAUUCCCAAAUAGGCUAGAGCUUCAUUGAAAUUUUCCAAAAGAAUAAAAGAAACACUUCUUCCAAAAGAAAAAUUUCCAAAAAUUUCUCCAUGUGCUAUUAUUACAAAUCACAAGUAUUGAAGGCCCGAAUGUUCCAAAAAUGUUUCACAAAAGCCUGUGCCAUUUCUAGCUCUGUCCUAAGCCAAGUUACAACCCAUUACUGUCUUUAUAGAUCUAAGCUGAUAUGGUAGGAUGUGGCGAGUAAGUGAGAAGAUGCUGAGGUGAAAAACCCGACAUCUCAAGUAAGGCUAAUUUUUCCAUCCUUUGAGACUAAGUUCAUUCCAUUACACCAGUCCGUUCUUAUAUAUAUGUGUAAGAUGAUUGUCCAUCUUCUUUCCUCACAUAGAGGUAAAAUGAUAAACACCAUCUCUGAGUGAUUUUAUUUCUGAGUGUAUCACUAUGAGGCAGAAGUCAAAGCGACUUUUUCAAAGGUGACUUAAGACCCAUGGUAGUAUGGGUACAUGCCUGUACUCGAUGCAUUUGAAACUAUCAUGCUUGGUUUAUAUUUCAUAUCUUAUUCAUGCAUUGGUAGUAUGUUAUCUCAUAUGAGCGGUUUAGCAAUACUUAUCCUUAUCCUUGAUAUGACCAUUUCUGAGGUACAUGGUAGAAAAUUCUAUUCUUGAAUUAGUCAUUGUAGUAAGUUUGUGGGUACCUUCUCUGGAAAACCCUCAGGAGACUAUAACUCCUCCACUUGGGAAACCCUUGUGGUUGAAAGCCUUGAUGCAUAUGGUUAAUGCAAUCACCUUAGUUAUACUUCUCUUUUGAGUUCCUUAUUCUUUCUUCUCAUCUUUGCUUGAGGACAAGCAAAGUGUUGUUUGGGGGUAUUUGAUCGGACCUCAAAAGUGUAUAUUUAUCCCCCGAAUAACACAUUGUUUGUCUAGCACUUAGCUUAUAUUAUUGUAUUAUAUCUAUUGAUUAGUGCAUUAUUGUCUUUAUGUAGGUUUUAUGAGCCGAAAUGCGAAUAUUGUGUAAAUGCCCGCAAAAAGUCGAGAAAAGCAAGCAAAGAGGUGUUAUUUGCACAAGGGAAAAGAAUGGAUAUUUGCACCCGUGAAAUCUGCUAAGGGCACCCCGCGGUCAACUCUGGUCGACUAGGUUGAGUUGACUUUUUGGUCAACAUUGACUAAGGUUGACUUUUUGGUCAACUUUGACUUUGGUCGACUUUUGGGUCAACUGCUGCUGACCUAUGUUGACUUUCGGUCAACUGUUGACUUCUGAAGACUUUGGGUCAAAUCUGUUGACUCACGUGGACCGGACUUCCUAUUUUGGGUCUUGAUCUUAAAAAGGCUCUACAAGAAGAACCAGAAGUCCGAUUGGGGCCCAUGAGAUAUCAAACUGAAGGUCUUGGCCCAAGCUACUAUUCUGGCCCAAGAGGAUUAGGUUUUGCUGAUUGCCUAAUCCUUCUAAGAGGCCAACAGCAGCAGCCACGAAUUUCACUAAGUUAGGAAGUCUUUGCAUGCAAGUAUUCCAUUAUGUAAUAGAUAUAUAAGAGAAGUUGUAACUAGGGUUUACUAUCUAUCUAGAAUCUCUUUUAGAUCUUGAUCUUCUAGCCUCCACUUGAAGAUCAACUUUUGUAUUCAAUUCAAUCAAUAUCAAUCCAUGAAUUCUUUUAUGAUGUUCUUUGAUUUAAUUAUUUGUUCUUUUGGUAUGAGUAGCUAAAUCAUCAUGGGGGGAAGGUGGAAGCUUUCUAGGUGAUGUAAAAGUAUUAUGUUGUUUCUUCUUAUUCAUUGUGAUUCAAGGUUCUUAAUGUUUACUUAUCUCUAAUUCGCGAUAUGAGGUGAGUAUGGUUAUUUGUAUGCUAUUGUUAUCCAUGGUGUUAAAUAUUAUUGUUAGAAUUUAGGGAGACCUACUUUUGAUAAUAGUAUUAUAUUUAUUGUAGAUGUGUAGUGAAAUAGCUGAGAGGUGAUUACUGUAUUUUUGUUAUAUUUAUCUUUUAUUGGAACCCUUUCAUGAUUAAAUUCAAAGAGGUGAGGAUUUGAUUAAUGAAGCAUAUUCAAUAACAUGCAUCAUAGAAUCCCGUUUUAAUUAGAGUCAAUAGCUGAGAGGUGAGGAUUUGAUUAUUAUUGGUAUUAAUAACUAAUAGGAAUAGCUGAGAGGUGACUUGUUAGUUGUUAUAGAUUGAAUAUGAAGAACAUCAUGAUAUAAUUGCAUAACCUAGAUUGUGGAAACCUACUACUCCCCCUAUGUCAUCAUAUUAUCUUCUUUUCCAUAUCUUCCAUAUUCUUAAGUUAGGUUUAAUUAUUAUUUAUUGUCUGUAGGAAGUAGAAUCAAUUCUCUAACUAUUAUUAUUGAUUCAUUGAUGUUUCUUAAUUAUUGUUCUUAAUUGUGUUUGAGCUAAGAUUUCCCCCUCUGAGGUGGGUACGACCCUUGCUUGUUACUUGUCUACUUUGAUCUUCAAUUUAUACAGGCACAAGAAGAAAAAUCUUUUAAUCUAAUCUUUUGAUACACAAUAAGCGUUCAGUGCUCUUUUAUCUCAUGAAAUCAGAAAUAAAGGCAGAGACGAUGAAUCUCAUGGUGAGGGUUUGGUGAUUAAUGGGGGAUCACAGAAAGGAUUUAACAAGAGUAACAAGGCUCACAUAGAAUGUUGGAAGUGCGGAAAAUAGGGCACUUUAAACGGGAUUGUGAGAAAAAAGGUGGAGCGGUUUUGGCAAAUAGCUCCAAGUCAGGGAAAGGCAAGCAUAUUGCUAAUUCUGGCGAACAUGCUAAUCAAGUGCAGUUUGAUAAUGAAUUACUCUUGGUGACUAAUCAAGAAGAAAAUUUACAUCGGGAAUGGGUACUUGAUAGCGGUGUCACAAAACAUGUUUGUUCACAUAGGUCAUGGUUUGACAAGUAUGAAAGAUGUGAGGGUGGCUAGAUGUCGAUGUGUGAUGGCUCCAAGAAGUCGAUAGUGGGAGUCAGUAAUAUUCACAUCAAGAUGUAUGACGGGAGGAUACAUACUCUUGAAGGUGUUCGACAUAUGUCGAGUUUGCAAAGAGAACUAAUUUUUCUUUUCAAGAUAGAUUCUUUGGGUUACAAGUUCACUGGCAAAAGUUGAGUUAUAGACUUGUAGAGGUUUGCAAGGAUUCCAAUGUGAUUAUGAAAGGAGUCGCGAGUAGUAGUGGCUUGUAUAUACUAUUGGGUCAAACAAUAGUAAGAUCUAGAGUUGGUCCUAAGGCAGGCGAGGUGAUGUUUAAAUCACAGGGUUCUGUUAUGAACAAGGUGGCUGUAGAAGGAAGGAACUCAAGAAAGGGAAAGAUGGUCAGCAAGUGGAUUCCUGUCGGUCAAUCAUAAUUGAUUGGGCACCUAAAAGGGUGGAGGCGACAACGUGGAUCAAGAAGGUUUCACGGGUGCAAGUGGAGUCAACAAUAAUCAAGUUCAUUGCCUCGCCAAGGUGGAGAUUGUUGUGUUUGGCUCGCAAUGCGCAGGAUCAUAGCUUAUAUUAAGUGAGGUCUAUAGGAUCAUAUCUUAUGUUUUUUUCUAGAAACAAUGUAUAUAAGAACUCUACUCCCAUAAGUACUUGGUAUUCUAAUUGGUAAUUGGUAUUGUUAUCCAAUUUGGAUCCUUGUAUGGCCGGAUUAGGAACUCUUGGGUAUUAUAUAUACUCAACUAGUUGGCUAUUGUAAAAUGGUGGUAAGAAGAAAGAGUGAACGAAAGGUGAAAGCAUUACUAGAUAGAGAGAGAGAGAGGGGGAAAUUUAUGAAGGUUUUCAUAAUAGGGUUUCUCAGGUUCUAGUGUAAGAGAGAAAGAGACAAGGAAUUAUAGAUUUGUAAUUAGGUUGUUUCUUUUCUCUGAUUAGUGAAAUCUUCUUGAUCGGUUGCCGCGUGGAGUAGGCGGGUUUGCCAAACCACGUUAAUAUUGGUGUUAUUGUGUGUGAUUGUGUUUUUUUCGAUUACUUUUUCUAUUAUUUGCUAUUAUCUAGAUUAUCGGUAUUGCAACCAAUCAUUGGGUUAAAGCUUUCGUUGCACAACAGAACGUGGCAGAGAGAUCAGCUAAGUGACUAUCGGCUAGCUACCACGGAUUUUACCAACAUAUCCAGUAAUGUUAUCAAAGUUGACGGAAUAGACGGGGUGUGUGGAAUGAUUAGAAUAAUCCAUACCCCUUUCGAUGUCCACGAUGGAUAUCCAACUAUGCAUCUGAAAAUGAUAUAACCAGAGUAGUCAGGAUACUCGGAGAGACUAAGUGGACUCAUACUUAACCGAGUAGCCGGAGUACUCGGAGAGAUUAUUGUGGAUGACUAUGUGUAGUCAUUAUGUAUCGUACGACCUUGUGAGGCGCUAGCAUGAAUUGAGUCAUGAUCUGAUAUGAUUGUUGACAUCUUUGGCAAUUUAUAAUUUUGAAACUUUUGUUGUUGCCUGGUUUCUCAGUCCGUGGGGACGAGCAGACUUGUAGCUAUUGUAGGAGCUUUUAUUUUCAAAUCACUCGUAUGGAGCUCUGAUUGUGCUGUGAAGCAUUUGCAGUGGAGAAUUCAUUCAAUCCCGUUACAGAAGUCAGUCUAGCCCUAUCGUCACAGAGGCUAGCUGUUUUGUCGGCUUGACAUGACUGACCUCACGGUCCUACUUCCAUCUUGGAAGGCUUCCCGCAAUGCUGAUGUUGCAGCCAUCAUGGGGUACGAGUAAGGGGGUAAGAGCUGCUAGGCGGGGCUAGCGUCGUGCCAAGACUUCUCUCUUACCAGCCAUAGUCGCCCCCAAGUAUUCAACUUGCUUCCUAAUCAGGACAUCCCAGCAAGACCGUUAGCAUGGCUCUUGGCGGGGUUGCAGCUAUGAAACAUAAGUGGAUAGAAUGAUAUAAAACAUGUAUGCCAGAAUGCGAAAACUCCAUAUUUGUAUACCAGAGUGCGACAACUCCAAGAUAAUUAUAUUUAUUAUAAUUAACAUUUGUAUGCCAGAGUGUGAAAACUCUAAGAUAAUUAUAUUUAUUAUAAUUAACAUUUGUAUGCUAGAGUGCAAAAAUUCCAAGACAUGUUAUUCCAAUAAGCAAUAUAACAUAAGCUUUUGCUAAUGAAGACAAUUUCGUGUGAACCGUGAAGAAAUAAUAUGAGCUCUAACAUUUUUGACCCCAAAAAUGCCGAAACUGAGUUAACCGUAGAUAAAUAAUAUAAGUUCUACCAGAAAUGACACAAUCGUGUGAACCAUAGAGAAAUUACAUGAGUUCAGGAAAAGAUGACACAGUCGUGUGAACUGUAGAGAAAUAAUGUGAACUCCAACAUUAAUGAUGCCAAAGUGAGGCAACUGGGUGAUCCAUAAAGAAAUAAUAUGAGUUCUGCCAAAGUUGACAUAGUCGUGUGAACUGUAGAGAAAUAAUAUGAGUUCCAACAUUAAUAACACCAAAGAUGAGGCAACUGAGUGAUCCCCAGAGAAAUAAUAAGUGUGUAACAUAAGCCUCUUGACUGGCUGAGUAGUCCGCCUAGAAAAGAUCUGUAACAUGAAUUACGCUAUAUGAAUGAACAUCAAGAAUGGCAUUGCCGAGAAAGAUUGGCAGAAAGAUCCAAUAAGUAAUUAAACAUAAGCUCUGGAUGCUAAGAGUUACAUGGCCGAGUAAACCACAUAGAAAUUUCCAGUCAUAACAAGUUCCAGUAACGCCAAUGAUGACAUGGUUGAGUGAACUAGUUGAGUGAACCUUAGAGAAAAUAAAUAUAAGUUCCCAUGUAAUAGAUGCCAAGAAUAUCGCGACUGAGUGAACCGUCUAGAAAAGAUCGAAUCAUAAUAAGCUCCAAUGAUGCCAAGAAUGACCUUACUUGGUGAACCUUAGAGAAAUUAAAUAUAAACUCCCAUAUAAUAGACGCCAAGAAUGUCACGACCGAGUGAGCCGUCCACUCUAGAGAAUAUAUACUUGUAUAAGAACAUUAGAAGAAUCUGUAUAAGUAGAAUACGAGACCAUGAAGCAGUUAGAGUUGAUAAUUAAAUUUUGUCAUAGAAACGACAUUUUUAGCCAAGUUGAACCUGCUCAUCUUUUAAAAAACAUGUAACCAAUAAUCUUUUCAAAGCAGAGAGUAUACUUGGCGUAAAACUAAAGUAACAUAAUCUUUGCCAAGAAUGACUUGACCGAAUGACCUUACAAAGAUACUCGUGUAUGAGCAUUUAGACUUGGUGACCUUUCGCAAGAAAGGCAACCAAUAUAUUUAUGUAUAUAAUACGAUGAAAACAUAUUUAACUUCACAAGACUUAAGCAUGUAAAUGCAUUAUUGGACACAAAUAUCCAAGUGAACCGUGAAAACUUAGCAUGUAAAUGUAUUAUUAGAUAGAGAUGUCAAAGUAUAACAUGCAAAUACAUUAUUGGACAGAGAUGUCCGAGUAAUCCGUGAAAACAUAGCAUGCAAAUGCAUUAUUAGAUAGGGAUGUCCGAAUAAACCGUGAAACUUAGUAUGUAAAUGCAGGAAACCGUGAAAACUUAAUAUGUAAAUUCAGGAAAAAAAUGUCCAAGUAAACCGUGAAGACUUAGUAUGUAAAUGCAUUAUUGGACAUAAUUGUCCGAGUAAACAACGAAAAAAUAUAAAUACAUUAUUAGAAAGAGAUGUCUGAGUAAACCGUGAUGUGUGAGCAACUGUAACAUCAUUGAAAAGAUAAAAUCACCAUCAAUAGUUGUAACAGGUUACCUUACCCGCCAGAACUGCUACUUGAAGAAGAAAUCUUCAAAAGAAAUCCCCAUAAAGCACGAUGAAACAUAGAUAUAAGCACAAACAUGAGUGAGCCGUCAAUAAUAAGUAACAAAAAAUGAUUUGACUAAAUGAACCAUAUGUGUAUGUGCAUGCUUGCUCAUCUUUCACAAAAUAUGCAACUAAUAUCUCUAUCCACAUAAUAGAAUGAAAGUAAAUUGAAUCUAAAUUUUUUUUAGUAAAUGCAUUACUAGAUAGAAUAUUCCAACUGUGAUAUGUGUUAACUCUGUGAGAAACUAUAUCAUCAUUGAAGAGACAAUAUCUUCCUCAAAGUACUUAAACUAGGAGUUAUAACGGAUUACCUUACCACCAGAGUUGUUGGUUAAGUAAAAAGAAAUCAUAAAAAAGAAAUCCUCUUGAAAGGUGAUGAAACAUAUAUCUGAGAUCUAGUGUAGCUUGAAUACCGAUAUCAAAAGUUCUCUUUGUUGUAUUGUCCUUCAAAGUGAAGAUCUGAUGUGUUUUGUAAAUAUCGCGAUAUUGGCUGAAACUUGAUGAAGUUUGGAACCAUUUUUCAGAUUCGUGGAGAAAACCUUCUCGUCGUGGAUCUACAUAUUGUCUCUCUUUUUCAAGAACUCACGUCUUCAUUUAUCUCACUAACCUCGAACUGUUCAGAUAACCUAGAACUAGAAUAGAUCGAUCAGUUAGUGGUUGCCCUCCUUCUAGGGCCAUUAUGCAAGCGGUAUUUCCGCCUACAUCUUGAGAUCAGUGAGGCCAGUGAAGAAUGGUUUAACUCCUUCGUCAUCAUCUCUGUUACCUGUAAAACACGCCGGGGUUGUUCCCGACGUUAGCACUCCAACGCUCAAGUCAGAUAGUGUAGAUGAAGAGAAGAAGAAGAAAGACAAAAUGUGUUGAGUGAAGUGAUGGAUCAUACCUUGUGUUUAGGGUUUUGCCCCUUAUAUACUAUUCAUACCUUGUAUGUAAUGUAGGCCGUGAGAUCUUAGAAGACCUGACGGUUGUGAUGUAGAGAUGUGGACCUCUGGCUUCCAAGUAUUCUCUGUCAUGACUGAUCCGUGCUUGCCACAUGAGCUGUACAGUCUGUCUUGUCUGAGUGAUAACCUGCAUCGCAAGCUAUUUUACUAGGUUGAUUCGUUAGAACCGAGUAACACGUGGAAUCUGGUAUAAUUAUGUACUUACAAAAUGUAGAGGAAUUUUGGCAGCCAUUAAAUGGUGCGUCGAACAACAAUUCUCAAGGCUAGAAGUGGAGACUGAUAAUGAAGGAGUAACAGACUAUGCAAAAGAAUGGGAACUCACUGGGUCCACUGUUGUAAUCUAUCCCACCUCCUUGGUUGAUACACUAGUUGGUUUUGGAUAUAGAUAUCUUGUAAUUUGGUUGUUGCCUAACUAUUUAAAGACCACUUAAAAAAAAAAAAAACUAAAGUUGAACCUUUUUAGAAUCCAGAAUGUAGAGAAGCCAAUGUAGUACAGUUAUGCGUUUGAUUGCAGAGUGGGAAAAAAAGGAAGUGGGAAUUACUUUGGCUGUGUUUGAUAGUAAGAGUGGGAAUUGGAAGUAUAACCUCAAUAAAUUAAUAGUCUUGGGACUCAGGAAAUAUUUGACUCAAUUUUGACUCAAUCCUAUUUAGGGUACUUGUACAUGUUGGAUGAGCGGGCGGGGCGGGGCAGGGCCAAAUAAUCCCCGUUCUUAGGCGGGGCGGGGCGGGGAACGGGGGGCUUAAGAAAGUUCACCCCCAUCCCUGCCCUGUACAGGUCGGGGGGCGGGGAACGGGGCGGGGACGGGGAAAAGUUUAUAAGGAUCAGAGUCCUGAGGUUCUGCUGCUGCCUUUCAGCCCACACUGUACAUGUGACUUACAUUUGCACCAAUCUGAACCUUUCAGUUGGUGGACCACCCCCUUUUAGUUAAGUUACAUUGCAUGGAAUCUUUCAAUCUCAUUAUUUACUUAUGUCUGAUAGAUGGAAUUUUAUAUGCUGUGAGCCUUAGUUUGGAUUUUAUCAACUAAAAAAAAAUGAAAAACUAAUAUCCAUAACUGGAAGAACAAUUCUACUCAAAUGACCAUAAAUUCCAGCAGUAACAUACUGAAUUGUAUACAUAUGCAAUAUCGACAAAUUCGAGUUUCAAGAAUUCAUUUAAAUUAUUCCAUAAGAUCUAAACAUUGCAAAUUGAUUACUGAGUUGAAAUAAACUCGCAUAUCAAUACGUAAACAACUAAACAUACAGGAUUAGAAACUGAAACUUGUAUAAUCUAUAUCAAUGUGUAAACAGGAUUGCAAUAUAGACAAAACAGAGGCCAAAAUGAUAGUAGAAGAAAAUAGAACAUAGCCAUUGAAUUUCUAACUAAUUACUGAUUAAAAACUUUAAAUAGAAAAUAGCCAUUGUAUAGCCAUUACAAUUGAAGGAAGCAGAAAAUGGUGGGAUUCAUUGGAGUGGGAUCCUGCCUAUCCCCAAAAUAUCCUUCAACCCUUCUUCAAAGAGAAACAAGGUAUGUAGAAUGAAUUGUUACUCCACUUUUGGUCCAAAGCUUCCAUCUUUUCACUCACAAUUGGGUCAAUUUCUAAUUCAUAUAUAUUAAUAUAGUUCAUAUUUUAAUAGAUAUAUGGGAAAUCAAUUUGAAUUAAGAAAAGUCGUAUGUUUUGUUUGAGUUUAUACAUACAUUCCAUAUUUACACGGUUUACUCCAACUCUCAUGCCCAAUAUUUGCAUUAAACAACAGUGUGCAAUACAUUGACUACCUGUACAAAGAUUGCCUUCCCCAAAUUCCUAUUUUGAUUCGAUUUUGCAUAUUUCAAGAAUAUUUGUGUUCAAGAUAAUAAGAUAUGAUGUACUCCGUAUUACAACUUGCGACUGUCAUUAACUAGGCCCAAUAUUUUCUUUUCUGCAGGGAAGUCUUAUGGGUUAAACAUAGAUAUACAUAACAGAGUUACUUGUGCUUAUUGUGAGGUAACAUCCAUGUUUUACUUUCAUAUUGAAAUGAUAUUUUUGUUUUAUAAAAUAUUAGGAGGGUGAUUCAAUAUGAGUAAAAGUCUAGGUACUCCGUACUUGUUCUUGUUUGAAUGGCUUAAAUUUGUGCUAAACUAGGACUUUUUUUUUAAUUCAAAACAAAUUUUAUUGAUAAAAAUUUGAGAAAUUAUACAAAGUUAGAGUACAAGCACGCUACAAACUUCGUUGCAAGCCCUUUUUGAAUACCAAAACCAAAUCUACGAAAUACAUAUUUUAUUUUUUUUUUUAUUUUUUUUAAAAAAAAAAAAAACGCUAGGGUUAGGCACACCCCUACCGGAUUUUAUUAAAGAAAGAAAGAAUAAAGAUUACAUUCUAAGGUACAACUUUCCCGAGGCAUCAUUCAACAAAAUGAUAGAGAGUUCUUUUGAGAAUGGCCUAUGGUAUACAAUACAAAGAUCAGGGGGGGCACUUAGGCCAGCUAGGCUUGUAUUUUCCUUGUUUCUUGCAUCUCCAAGAAGGAUCAGAUAUUCCAUUAAUGAUGUCAGCAGCAAGUUUAGAGUCCGUCAAUAUAUUAACCUUUUUUAGACCUUGCUCCUUAGCAAUCUCCAUGCCUACCUUGAUAGCCUGUAGUUCAAUCACAGUGAUGGUAGUAUGCUUAGUCCCUCCAGUAUAGGCUACCAAGACCUCACCCUUGUGAUCUCUCAACAGUCCUUCAAUCCCUGCCAUGUUUCACUGAGAGCCCCAUCAGUAUUAAGAGCGAAAUAGUCUUCAUCAGGGGAUUCCCACUUACAGUAAGUACCAACAUUCCGUUUGAUCUGUAUUCUCAGGUUCAUGAUAUGUACGAUGCUAGAGUUCUAAAAAGAGUCCUUGACAGUAUUCACUUUCAGGUGAUUUCUCUUGAGUACUUUGUCCUUGAUAGUUGCGACGAUCUUUGUAGGUGUAGAAAACAAGUUUCUAAAGAUCCUGUCGUUUCUCUCCUUCCAAAUCGCAUACACAGUUGCACUUAGAGCAGCUUGUAAGAACUGUUUGUGGAAUUCCUUACCGUAAAAUUAUGGCAAAUCCAUUUCCACUCCUUGUGUGCAUUUCUGCUCCCUCAAUAGAAUCCACACCAUUGUAAAAUAGCAUGCCAUACUUGCUUCGAGUAACUACAAUAAAAAAAGAGGUGCUGCACUGAUUACAUUGCCCAAACCUCCUUUACUACUAUCCUUGAACAAUGGCUGAUCUAUCCAAUUAUCCAAAAAUCUAAAAGGGAAGUUUUUUCUAUGUCGCUGGGCAUGUUGCAUAAUGAUAAUUGGCGAAUGGUCAGAUAUACUCAUAUACCUUGAGGAAGGAAGUGAGCUUCUGUAUUACUCCUUUGUUGGAACCAGACUUGAUUGACAAUCACACGAUCUAGCUUUACCAUGGUUCUCCCCUUACCAUUUCCUCUAUUAGUCCAGAAAUAAAAAGUACCAAAAUAUAUUAGGUCUUCAAGUCCAUUCAUUUCAAAACAGUCCACAAAGUCUCUAAGGUCUCUGUCAUGUAGUACUGAACCUCCCACCUUUUCGUCACUACUCCUACAAGUAUUAAUUAAAGUCAUCCAUGAGAAUCCAGGGCUUCUGGAUAUUGGGAUUGAGAACAGAGAUAAAGUCCCAAAGCUUGUGUCGAAGGUGUCUUUCAUUCCGAGCAUAAACAAUGGAGCUUGUGCCUCAACAUAUUUGGCAACAAAAGAUGUAAAAUUCUAACAGAUGUAGAAUUUUAUUACAUCCGCCUCCGAACACAGAUGUAGAAUUUACUCAUGGUGAUCUUGCCAAAUAUUACAUCCGCCUCCGUACAUAGAUGUAAAAUUUACUCCAUGUAUAUUUAGAGAAACAAAACGAUCGACUGAUUAUUUGGCACCGGAGAUAACUUUCAAUAAUAUUUUCACUCUUAAAAGACAUGCAUGAUGACUUUAGUAUUGAAAAUAAAAACUAGCUUUUUUGCUUAAUUUUCAUUUUAAAUCUUCGACUCAAAGGGAGAUGGCAUUGAAGCAAAUAUGAUUUAUUUAGCAUUCAUUUAUAAUUCAAUCUGUAAAGUUUUCAGUCCUGCAGUAAUAUUUUGUUGCUUUUAACCUUUACUCAUGCAGUAAUGUUCUUAAGUCUUACCACCUAAAUGGAUAACUUGACAGAUGAAUCCAAUAGUCAGAAAUCGAUACAGAUGCAAGCAUUGUUGGGAGGAAAAUGUCGUCACUGAGCAAGGCGUAGGUUUUGAUUUGUGUGAAGAUUGUUAUCAAACUCUCUUCAAGCAUCGAGAGCUUGCCGAUCUGUAUCACACACAAGGGCAUGCAUUUGAGCCCAACUGGCACCUACAUGUUUACAUUAAUGUUGCAACUGCAUUAUUAAGCCAAAAAUUAUUAAGCUAAACUAGAUCAGACCGAACCAAUUUAAUUCGUUUCGGUCUUCGGUUUGGGACUUUAUUUUUGGCCUGUGUUUUGGGCUUUAAUAACUCAUAACUUUUCUUUUCUUUAUAUAUAACAGGCCUGAAUAUGACCAUUUAGACUCCGCCCAUUUAAUUGUUUUUUUUUUUUUUUUUUGUAAUUUAUUGAAUAUUUGAAUAUAAUCUAACAUUUAUCAAAAAAAAAAAAUCUAACCUAUAUUGAAAUAACGUAAAAUAACAUAUAUAUAAGGAAAAAAAAUAAAAUAUAUAUAUUCUCAGUUCGGUUCGAACCGAAAUAUUAGAAUAGGAACUGGAAUUGGACUGUAUAUACUCGGUUCGGUUCCAGUUCCAGUUCGGUUUUGACCUGGUUCGGUUCCGGUUUUAAUUCGGUUUUCCGAUUUUUUGCCAACCCGUAGCUAAUACGCUAUAGCGACCCGACCUAUAUCACCACCGAUAUUGUUCCCACUUAGCCGACAGUGUGGGGUUUUAUGGGCAGCAACCUGCUUCCUUGGAGGUCACCCAUCAUGAGACUACUCUCAGCCGAACCCGCUUAACUCCAAAGUUCUUUUGAACCCUAGAGACAAGUGAACCCAAAAGGCCUCGGUGAUAAUAUACGACGAAUCUAUACCUAUAUUCCAAUGUCAAGACACCCCCUCUUAUGUGUCGUACGACCCACCCUCUCGGUAAAUCACCUACCGACCCAGGGUGUUACAUACGCAUAAUAAUCUUUUGUUUUCUCAUUUGAUUCACGAAUAAGAAGCAUAUUUUACAAAUUGGCUUAGUUGUGGCAUUAUGGACAAGUUGAAUUGCAAAUCUAAUACGAGGGUUUGUGACUCUCUUGAAACAGGUACCAUAUAUAAGCGUUCCAAAUUAUGGGCCUCCUUAACUUUAGGGAGAAGAGAAAUCACCUCCGUUGGCCCUCUGCGAUAUCCUUUGGAAUGGUGGGAUUCAAAGAGACUUGUACAGCAGGUACAUACUACGUAUUAUCAACCCGAAUUUGGUCAAAGUUUCCAUCGCCUUCUUUUGAUUUAUUUAUUUACUUACAAUUGGGUAAGUUUCAAUUAAUUGUUUUUUCUCAAUUAUUUCAUUGUCAUAAGAAUUAACUCUCCAAAAGGUAACAUGGCAUAAUGCUUGAAAUUUUUUGUUUUCUAUACUUUGUAUUUUCUUUAUCGUUUUUACUAGGUAGGGUUAAUAGUUAAUACACUCAUUUUCUUUAUCGUUAAUUAUUUCAAUGUAUGUUUAUUAGGUACAGUCUUGGUUUUUUACAGAUAGCAAGAUGACUAUCUGUCAGAAAGUGUUUUACUAAAAAGAAAUUAAAUAGCCUCACUGCCAAAAGAUUAACAAAGAUGAAUGGACUUCUUGUUCUUAAUGGCCAUUACGUUAAAAUUUUGUGAAUUAUUGAGAAACCUGCUAUCGUCGUAAAUAUAUCUUGACAUGCAAUGAAAUUACAAUAAUUUUUCGUAACUGAGAUUUGGUCCAGAUCUUUUGGUGUAUACCAAGGAAGGACUUGAAUUCAAAACAUCGACAACAACUAUAUCUGGGAAAAACUCUAAAUAUGUUGCCAAAAUACUUAUUCAAAGUCCAAAUAUUAGUUGGGCUAGUUCUGUAAUGGGAGUCGAAUUGAGGUCCCACACGUCAUCUAUUGUAUUAUUGAGGUCCCACACGUCACCGAGUAACUUUUUAUUAUUUCGUCCAUCAACUCAUCCCCAAUUAUUUGGUCCUUUCUUCUUCUUCUUCUUCUUCUUCACUGUUUAGCAAUUAACUUUGUUCCCAAUUCAGAUCCAUUUCAUUUCAUGCAUAUAUGUUCUAUUAGUGAAGUCUCAAUCUUCCUAGCUUCUUCAUCUUGUCAGUAAUUUUGUUUACUAAAACAACUUCUAGCACCUUAAGAUUUGUGUUUUGGUAUGUAUAAUCUUUAAAUUUAUUUUUUUAUUUUCAUAAAAGAAGUGCAUUAAGAAUUGAAUUUUUAAUUUUAGGUACUGAAGAUGAGUCGAAGAACAGGUCUUGCUUUUCACCUAUAGACCAAGAAUGAGUUGAGCAAUUAAUUUGACUAUUGAGCAAUUAGCUAGUAAGCCUUUUACAGUAUUAUUAUUUUCUUAUUUUUUGAUAGGCUCGCUUGUGUUUUUGACACAAAUUUUAUUCCCUCUGUCCCAUUUUAUUGUUUUUGACCAAAAUUAAAAGGGUUAGAGUAAUUAAUUUUUGCAUAUUUUUUUCCAUAUUUACCCUACCUUUUAUUAUUGUUUUCAUGCAUUUAAUAUAAGUUGAAGUAUUUGAUUAUUAUUUAUAGGUUGCUAAAAAUGCUCAUUAAAUAAAGGUAAAUGGGUAAUCUGUGUUAUUCAAUCUCAAUUGCCGUAAUAAGAAAGGAAAACAGUUUCCAAGAAUUUACUUUCCUACGUUUGGUUUGGUUUCGUAUUAAAUUAUGAAUUUGGAAUAUCUCACACUAAAAUAAACAUUUAAACAAAAAAACACGAGUGUAACAAUUUUUAAGUAAAAAACAAUCUAAAUCUAUAUUAAUUCAAAAAUUAACAAAAGAAAACAAUAAACCAUGUCCAACAUCUAAUGUAUAAUGUGGAUGCGAAGGUAUGUAGCCACUCCUUACGCAUUUCUAACUUCCGAACCAUAAACUUCUUUCCUUCAAGUUGAUGUGCCACGAGAUAGUUAAAUGCCUUUUCAAGGAACUUCUCAUCAAAACCUUUCAUAUUUAAUCCCUCUAAAUAUAAUUUUUCAACAAAACUAUCUUCAACCAAAGCUUCGGUCAAUUUUCCAACUUGUUGACUUAAAUCAUCAACCUUUGACAUCACAUCCUCCCAUGGUCUACUUCGUUUUCCUCGUCUUCUAUUAUCCGAAGAAUCUUUUUGUGUAGCACUCGAGACUUCAUUUACAUCAUCGGUUUGAAUGUCCGAAAGUGAUUUUGUAAAACUUCUGGUAGUUUGAUCCUCUCCACAAACAGGUCUCAACUCUUCGUAUUGUUCAAUUGGGACAUUGAUGAAUUCUUUAGUAUAUGGAUUCUCCUACAAUAUAUGAAUUAAGCAUAAUAUUAACAUUGGUCAUGACUUACAAAUGCUUGAAGUACUUUAAAAAAUAGCUUAUUAUAAAAGGGACAAAAGAAUAAGUUUAUUAUAAAGGGGAAGUAACACCAUGUCCUUAGACCUUAACCAGUAUACUCACAUUUAAGUUACAUGUUAACAUAGAAUUGAAAGAUAACAUCUUUCUAGCUACAACCACUUUGCCAAAUCAAGACUAUAGGUAUUAUUGGUUUUUGCCACACCCACUUCUUGGUACAUAUAUGUAGCAAAGACAGACCCAAAACAACUUCUUCAAAAUAUCUUAUUUGUAUUUGAAGAGAAAACUGGUUAUGCAUAACAAAGCUUACCUUAUUUUUUGUGGAAUCAAAACAUGAAUCAUAAAGACAACGGUGCAACAAAUAAUCAAAAUUGUCGGUAUAUUGACAUGUAUGUGUACUCAUUUCUACAUCAUUAAAACUAUAGAGGACUGGUGACUUCACAACCUUGGAACAUAACAACUGUACAAUACAUAAUAAAGGAUGGUUUUAUACCUCAAUGAACUCCAAUGCAUCCUCUUUACGGACUUCGAUAAUCUUUCUCUCUUCAUCCCAACCCCAACCACUUCUUUCUCGGAGAGCCUUUAUUUUUGCGUAUUUCCUCUUCACCAUCUUCAUACGAGCUUCAACAUUAUCAAUUGUACACAAUUGUUUGACACUAUCCGUGACGGCUUUGGCAGCCUUAGUAUAGACGGCCUUUGGAAACGAUUUCCCACUCUUCUCACCAUUGUAAGUGUUGCAUCAUAUAUAGUUACAAUUUCUUUGCAUAAGGCCAAUGGUAACAACUGUAGAACUGUACGACCACGUCGUCUAUCAUGAUCAUAGAGAAGGUGCAACUGUACAAAAGUAUUAAUGUCUGUGGAAAUCUACCUGUACAACUGUACCAUAAAUAAAAGUUACUAUUACAGGACGCAUUAUUUGAUGGGAGCUGAGAAGGUAGCUAAACUAAGCUACUGCAUCAUAUAUUGAGUGCAAUAGUGAGUCGAGAGAACAAGUUACAGAGUCAUAGAAGGUGCACAAAUGAAUGUUCAAAACACAAAUAUAGAAUACAGAAUUAAUUGACAAGCAUUCCAUCAGUUGAUCUUAACCAUGUCCUCGAAAUACAAUCUCGAAAAGCAACCUACAACAACUGCAACCAUUUACUGCACUCCCCUCAUAGGGAUUCAUAAAUUCAAUACUUAGAUUGUUGGGUCGUAUUAAUUUAAGGCAGCGAAUGGGGAGCACGUUAUUACCACAGCGGAUAUGAACUUUACAACAACAGCGAAUUGGGUAACCAUCUAGAUUGGGCCAUUCGAAAAGAAGGUUUAUUCCAAUACGGGUACACCAAUCAAAUGUGGGUGAUUUUUUUAUCAAUGGAAAUGGGCAUAAUCCCUUUCUUUUUUUCUUAGAACACAAAAAAUUACUGGAAGCACCACUAGUCUCGUUGAGGCCAUGAACAAUUGUAUGUUGUCAAGGUUUAACUAGUAGUAUUAGAGUAGUAGAUAUGACUAAUUGAGUUUUCAGUAAUGAAUGUAACAUUUAUCUGAAAAAUCAAUCAAUUCAGCAAGUACAAAACCUGGAAAAUGACUACCACAACUGUUCACGAUCACAAGUUUGUUGUUUCAUACAUCUUAAUUACAAACAUAUGAUUGAACAGAAAACUUUUGAUAUCUCUGGUUAAAUGGUUUUAUUAAAUUUUCCAGUGAGUGCCAUCUAUCAAAUUGUUUACUAUAGUAAGAAUCAAAGGCAGACUCACCAUUCUCCUAGUACCUCAUCAAAUAAAACUACCCCAUGCUUGCAAAAAUCCCAGAAAAUAUACAUAUCAACAGAUAAGCUAACUUGUACAAUAUCCAAUACUUGCAAAAUUUGGAGAGAAAAAAAAAAACCCAAACUUUAAAAAACAAUUAUAAAAUAAUGAAUUUUUACCUUGCUUUGACUGUAGCGAGAAGGGGAGCUCCAAAUUUUUAAACCCGCAUAGAAACUAGGCGGAAUUUGCUUUCCUAAUAUUUUCGUUUCCCUUUUGAACCAAACAGUUGGAAUUUAAACUUUCUAGGAAAACGUUUUUCUUUCCCUUAUUUUUCUGUGAACCAAACACGCCCUAUGUGUAUUUCAAUGAAAAAACUUAAUCUUGAAAAAUUUCAGAAAUUAGAUCGGAUCGAAAUUAUAAAACUAGUUCCAAUUCCAUUCCAUUAGUGUUUGAAAAAAAUAAAAAAUUGGAACUAGCAUUUUAUGUUCCAAAAUAGAAAAAAUCAGAUUAGAAAUCGGAAUUUUGGCAAAAAUCUCCACCCUUAGUUUUGACAAAAUUUGUACCAAGACCUAAUUACAAUAUUAAAUCGAAUCAAAGCAUAAAUCACCUAUUAUUACACAUGUACGAAAACCUAAAUAGUCCAUAGAAUUACUAGCUUUUGUUAAACAAAAAAACUAUAUGUUGCAGACUUGCAGGAAUUAAACAACAAUAAAAGAAAGAAGAUUAUAGGGAGAUUUUUUGCCACCCACUAAUAAGUGUUUAAUUCUUCAAACUCUACCAGGAAUUAAAAGUCACAAUAAUUUGAGAGAAAAGACAAAUAAUGGGUUUGAAAUACCCAUUAGGUGAAAUUGUGAAAGUGAAUUUAAGUUACCACACCUCUAGAUCCAAUUCAAAUAUUUUUAUCGUUGUUUAUUAAUUGAUCUAUUAAAAUCUACUACAACUUUAGGCUUUCAUUUAUGUAUAGUCGAUCUUUAAAUUUUGUUUAGAAAGGAAGUGCAGAACGAAUUAAGUUUUGUGAUGUAAAUCUCUAUUUUGUGAUAUAUGUUCUACUAAACAGGGUGGGGUCUGUUGUGCGCAGCGGAAACUAAUGCACAAAUAAGAUGAUUGAACUAGUGUAUGAAAUAAAAUAAAACGACAAAAUCAAAAAAACAAGCAACCACACAAGACACAAGAUAUACGUGGUUCGGCAAUAUGCCUACGUCCACGGGGAGAAAGGAUGAUGCUUUUCUUAUCGAGACAAUUGUACAAGCCCUCACGAAGAAAACCGAAGUCUUCUUCCUCACAAAAGUUCUCAAACUCUCUAAUGGCUUCUCACAAUCUCUCUAACAUCUCGCAUAAUUAAGUUUUUCCCCUUCUAUUUGGCUUUAUACCAUAGCCUUACAAUAGACCACGAAUUGGGCUUAAACACGGCCCAUAUAGCACAAAAACAAAGGAGGACGUACGUACGUCGAGCCACGGAGAAGUUAUCUGACGUACGGGACGUACGUACACCCUAACUACGUACGUACGUUCCUGAACAAGUAAUACAACGUUCGUACGUCGAAUUGACGUUUGUACGUUCAGCAAAUACCAAGUUGUCUGUGAUACGGGACGUACGUACGCCCUAACUACGUACGUAUGUUCCCAGACAAAAAACUUCCCCUUGCCCUCUUGUUUUCCAUAAAAAACCCAACAAUUCUCUACCUCGGCGAAGAUUCAAUAAGUCUAAGCCGACACCAAGAAUAAAACAAGUCAUAAACUCCCACACAUGUCCCGAAAGACCACCUCGGCUGCACCACCUCAUGGUUGCCUACGUACCCUUCUGCUAAGGGAUCAAGCCAUCGUAGUUUACUUCAAGAUAUACUAUCAACUCGAAAGAAGGAUAUGGACCAAUUCUAAGCAAUAGAACUUAGUCCCAUACACCACUUUAGUCACGACAAUUUUCCAAGCUUCUGUCGGAGACAAAGCAACCAUAGAAUGUAAUUGAGACAACCUGCUGAUAGAUCUCACUGCCAAUGUAAACACAUAUCCAGGAGUAGACCAACGUCUAUCUAAGUGACAAUCAUACUCAACAUCUACAUAACCAACACACCGCAGCCUCAGAGUCCUUCCAUGUUGAACUAACAAACAAACCUCCACACUACCUUGAAUGUAGUGGAACAUCCAUUUCACAGCUUCCCAAUGUCUCAUAUCAGGAUCAUGCAUGUAUCUACCUACAAUGCCCACUGCUCGUGAAAUAUAUGGCUUGAAACACACAAACUCAUCAUACUUUGCAACUCUAGAACCACUAGGCUGAGACAAAUAAAUCUCCUCAUCUAGCUCACCAUGUAAAACAACCGUUUCCACAUCAAACAGAGCUAACACCAAAUCAGAUCGCACUACCAAGGCCAUAAGGAUGCAAACGUUUACCUUCAAGUGCACAUCUUUACCUGGAGAUUCUUCUUCCUUCUUAGGUAAUCUAGUUGCAAUUGGACCCUCAUAAUUAGGAUCACCAUUUUCUGCAUUUCCAAUCGUCUCAUCAUCUGUCAUGUCAUCAGAAUUUGAAACACCCAAAAUCCUUACAAGAGUUUCCACAUUAGAUACAGAACCCACUGGAACAUAUGGAGAUAUGCAAAUUUCCACCCACUGCAAAACCUCUUUGGUCUUGUUCUCCACCUGCUGAGAACUCUCAGGCUCCAACAUAGAAACCUCCAUAAGAGUUUUACCACUAGUCACAAUCAAAUGCAACCUGUUAAUAAGAUGACAUGUCUCAACCCGAAACACUUUGCCUAAUCCAGCCAUAGACAACAUAUGUUCUGCCACCAUAUUCUGUUGCAGUGUCUUUCUCAUAGUGAAGUGACGCUCAAUACCCUUAGUCUGACAUACUUGCAAGACCGGAUCAUCUUUGUACUCUAUGCUAUUAUCUAAGCACAAUACCAUGAUCUUUGUGUCAAUUCGGGCCUCAACUAGCUUCUUCCACUUCAAUAUUUCUAGGACUUCAUCCUUAUGCUUCAUGAUGUACAUCCACACACGCCUAGAAAACUCAUCAACUAAAGACACAAAAGAAGACUUACCUCUCUAAGCUGUGUACUUGGUAGGUCUCCAGACAUUCAUGUGAACAUAAUCAAGAACUCCACUCAUACAAUGGAUAGUUGUGCCAAACUUUGCUCUUAUCUGCUUGCCCAGAUCACAAUGCUCACCGAACUCUAACUUGCAGGCGAUAGCACCCAUAAAAAACCUUUGCUCCGUUAUUGUCUGCAAAGAUUUUUCACAUUUAUGCGUCAGCCGCAUAUGCCACAAUUUGGUAGUCUCUCUAGCAAACUUCGUUGUAGCCUCUGACAUGGCCACAUCACAUGUAACUGUACUACCGUGCAAGAAGUACAAGUUACUUCGUCGAGUACCCUUUAGUAAUACCAUUGCACCAACCAUAACCUUUAGACACAUUCUGAGCUACUACCUUGUAACCUUUGGCUUCUAAGGUACCAAGUGAAAUAAGGUUCUUCUUCAAAUCAGGAACAUAUCUUACAUUCCUCAACUCUCUUAUCUUUCCAUCAAACAUCUUCAAUCGAAUAGUACCUAUCCCCAAUACAUGACAAUGUUGAUCAUUCCCCAUCACUACUGCACCAUUAUCUAGCCUUUUAAAGCUAGAAAACCAUUCCCUUAUGGGACACACAUGAUAAGUACCAGCCGAAUCUAAUAUUCACUCUUUAGCACUAGUGGAACAAUCGAUGGAUGAAACACAUAAAGAAUAAUCAGAACCAUCAUCUUCAUCUCUAUUAAUAUGUGCAACAUUUACCUCAGAGUUAUUCUUCUUGUCCUUUGCCUUGGCUUGAAGACAAUCUUUCUUCCAAUGCCCUUUCUCAUGACAAAAAGAACAUUCAUCUUUUGCUAGAAACCCCCUCUACGGCUCCCUACGAGACUCACCCCUACUAUUGUAGCUUCCCCUUGCCACUAAGACCUCUGGUGUUGAGCUUUUGGACUCUUCUUUGUCCUUCUUCAUACACGCAUGAUUUAACAAUGCUGCAGAAAUCUCACUAUACACCAGCUUGUCUUUUCCAUAUGUAAGUGUGAUAGCCAAGUGUUCAUAUUCGUCCGGUAACGAAUUGAGGAGACACACUGUCUUGCUUUCAUCACUUACAUCUGCUCCAAGAUUCACCAAGUCGGCAAUUACCUUGGUAAAAUCAUUAAGAUGCUCCGCCAUUGAAAUACCUCUUCUCAUAUCUAUUCGAUAAAACUUUCGAAGUAGAUAGUUUUUAUUGUGGAUAGUCUUUGUCAUUACUUCUCGUCCAAUUUUCGCCACAUCUCCUUUGCAGAAGCAUCAUUCAUCACAAGGUAUUUAAUGUCUUGAGCCAAACACGAUCUUAUGAUUCCACAAGCUCGUUUGUUCAUUUUCUUCCAAUCCCUCUGUUCCACACCUUCUGGCUUAUCCUCCAGAACAUCUUCUAGGUCUUGUUGACAUAGAGCAUCCAUUACCUCGCACCUCCACAUACCAAAGUUAUUGGUGCCGGUAAACUUCUCUACAUCAAUCUUUGCUUGAUGGAAAACCAUUGUCUUGAUUUCCCCCUUCUCGAAUCCUUCGAAUUCAAUUCUUUUGUCAUCUUUCCACCAACUUUCAUGCACUAAACAAUCACCAAACGAAAGUAAACAAAUCUGAAAUUCACACCGGAAUUUCAACCAACACCUUCUAUGCAACCCACGAACAAAAGGUAGAAUCUUGGACUUGAAACACAAUUAAGAAACUCACUGCGGAAUUUCUUCAAACACCUUCAAGACGCUCAAGAUCUAACCGAAGCUCUGAUGCCACUUGUUGUGCGCAGCGGAAACUAAUGCACAAAUAAGAUGAUUGAACUAGUGUAUGAAAUAAAAUAAAACGACAAAAUCAAAAAAACAAGUAACCACACAAGACACAAGAUAUACGUGGUUCGGCAAUAUGUCUACGUCCACGGGGAGAAAGGAUGAUGCUUUUCUUAUCGAGACAAUUGUACAAGCCCUCACGAAGAAAACCGAAGUCUUCUUCCUCACAAAAGUUCUCAAACUCUCUAAUGGCUUCUCACAAUCUCUCUCACAUCUCGCAUAAUUAGGUUUUUCCAGUUCUAUUUGGCUUUAUACCAUAGCCUUACAAUAGACCACGAAUUGGGCUUAAACAGGGCCCAUAUAGCACAAAAACAAAGGAGGACGUACGUACGUCGAAAUCGGAGAAGUUAUCUGACGUACGGGAUGUACGUACGCCCUAACUACGUACGUACGUUCCUGAACAAGUAAUAAAACGUUCGUACGUCGAAUUGACGUUCGUACGUUCAGCAAAAACCAAGUUGUCUGUGAUACGGGACGUACGUACGCCCUAACUACAUACGUACGUUCCCAGAUAAAAAACUUCCCCUUGUCCUCUUGUUUUCCAUAAAAAACCCAACAGGGUCUUUAACAUGGGCUCUUUAAUAUUCUUGAAUACUUCCUAUUAAAAUCUACUACAACUUUCGCUUUCAUUUAUGUAUAAUCUUUAAAUUUUGUUUAGAAAGGAAGUGAUGUAAAUCUCUAUUUUGGAUAUAUGUUCUACUAAACAGGGACAGGUCUUUAACAUGAGCUCUUUAAUAUUCUUGAAUACUUCUGUGAUCAAUAUUUGUACUGUACAUAAUGUUCUAACUAAUAAUUAUGAUCCACUACAAAUUUAAUCCAAAAAAGUAAUAUAAUUUUAUUUUCAAUUUAUAUUUUUUGUUUGGUAAUUGCAAUGUUAAUAUAUAUGGGGUAUUUAGGUUUUGGUCUUAGGUGUAUUAGGACUUGGUCGGACUUAUGUAAUUAGAUUUUAGGGGUGAUUUCGUCUUUUGACUUGUUUGACUAUCAGUCUAGUACUGUUAACCUUUUUAAGAUAACACUACUAACCCUGCAUGAGAGAAACGCGUGAGAAUUAAAAUUUUGUCAAAUAAUUUAAGAAUCAUAUGCUAUGUGGAAAGAAAAUUAGAAAAUAGUACUUCCUAUAAUUAAAAGUAUUAAGUUUUAGUACUUCCUUUAUUAUUCUUAAGGCUUUGGUCCAAGUUUCUGCCAUGAAUGCAGGGCCGGCUCUGGCUUUCUAAUGGCCCUGUGCAGUAACUUUAAAAAACGACCCUUUGUAUAAUAAGUCAGAAGGAACAAAAAAAAUAUUUGAAUCUAAAAAUCAAAAAAUUCAAUUAGAGAUGGUUCAAGUAAUAAUAUUUGAUAUAAAAUUCUCAAAAAAACAAAAAAAAUAAUAUCUGCAGUACCUACUUCUUGAGUUGUUGAGAAUGCAAAUGAAGAAUUUAGUGUUGAAAUUGAAAUAGAGAAAUAGAGAAUAAUAUUUGGAGGAAGAAAUCUAAUCGCUUAUAAAAAAAUUAUAUAUAUUAGGAUGAAUUUGUAAUACUAGACUUGUUUGUUGAAUUCUUUAGAGAUGGGAAUAAUAUAGGGAAAAAAGAAAAAUUACAGUUCUCUCCGUUGAAAAAAGAAAUUUGGUAGAUAUUUUUCCAUAAAUAAUGGAGAUAUUUAAGAAACUUAAAUAAAAUCCCAAAAUUUUUUCUUUCUUAAUUACAUUUAUCAAUUAAUUAUUGGUGUACUUAAUUCCUAAACAAAUAUUAGAAAGCAAAUCUAUUUUUUUUUUCUUCUCACGUAUCUAUCUAUUGGUUCCCAAAAAAUAAGGCCUCAUUAACUCUGAGGGCCCUGUGAGUCGAACAUUCUACACACCCAAGAGCCGGCCCUGCAUGAAUGAGUGAGGAAGCUUAUCUCUUUUCAGACAAAAACUAUAAUUUUAACAUUAACUUUUGAAGACAAGUCAGCCGACUGGAACUUUUUGUAGCAGAAGGUGCUAGUCUCAUAGGACACACAAUCAGACUUUCAAAAAUGACGAAGUUGUACUCAGGAUGGGUUGUUUCUUAAUGACUUGGGCAUCCGUGCACAACCAGAGCAAAUAUGUAACGAGAAUGUGUAGAUGGGCAUCUGGCUACCUCCAGCAACAGGACAGAUAAAGUUGAAUGUAGAUGGGGCUAUUAGGGGUAAUCUAGGUCUAACUUGUUUUGACAUGUAGCAAGGGACAAUUCAGGUGCAUUGAUAAGAUAAGGGGUAGAAACUUGGGAGUGAAAUCCAAUUAUUGGGCUGAAUGUCUAGCAAUUGUGGAAAUCAUGGAGAUGGAUAUUCAGGAGGAUUGGCUGACUGUCUGGAUAGCGUCAGAUGUUGCAGCUGCUGAACUAUAUGUAGUGUGUAAUUAAAUCUCAACAACCUCAACAUGCAACCCGCAACCUAGAUAUUCAUAAGAACACCUCCUUUGCAAUACAUGAUUCGUUUGUCAAUGAAUUCGAAGAUUACCAAACAAUAAACAAUAGUAAAAGAAGAACAAACCAUAACACCAAGAUAUACGUGGUUCGACAAUGCCUACCUUCACGGGGAACAAUGAGAAGAUUUCACUCUAAAAAAAAAAAGAAACAUCGAUUACAAUAAUCUCCCUAGUAUCUUUCUCAAGAUCUUAAUCUCUCACCUCAAGCUCAAUACACCUUGGCUUCCAAAAGUUCUCUUACCUUUGCUCUUUCUAUCUCUAUUAUUUUCUACUCUUGUUGCUUUAUCUUUACAAAACCAAGUUACUUGGGUAUCUAUAACACCCGGAUAAAAAAGAGAUCCAUAUAGGAUACGAAGUCCAAAACCGAAAAAAAUAUAGAAACAAAGAAUUAGGUUGUAAGGCCUUAUUCCAACUUUGUUUGGCCAAAAUGACAAACUUAUAAUUGUGGUUGUCAAAAGGAAAAAAAUACGUUAAUAAUUUGUUAAAAGGACAAACCCGGAUUUUGACUUUGUCAAAAGGAAAAAUGUUUAUGAUUAGACUUAUAAUCAUAUAGUCACACUUUUUCAAAAUUUCAUUUUUACCCGUAUAUACAUGUAAUUGCCAUUAUGAUUAUACGUGUGAUCAUACACACUUGUCCCUUUGAUUUAUGUGAUCACAACUGUAAUCUUAGUCAUUAUUAUAUGAUGUUUAUAUGUGAUUAGGACUAUGAUCAUAACAAAUAAAUACGAUUACAGGUCUGAUCGUAACAAAUAAAUGUGAUUAUAAGUGUGAUCAUACAUACUCGUGUUGUAAUUUAUGUAUGAUCAUAAUGAAUGAAUGUGAUUACAGGUCUAAUCAUAACAAAUAAAUGUGAUUAUACGUGUGAUCAUAUAUACUCAUGUUGUGAUUUAUAUAUGAUCAUAACGAAUAAAUGUGAUUACAGGUCUGAUCAUACCAAACAAAUGUGAUUAUAAGAUCCGAUCAUACGGUUGCAUAAGAUCGCAUUCCAACAAGAGUUCAUUUAGGUAGGGUAUAGUUUUACUGCAGUUGGUGUUAUGUAGUAUAUGAUUAGACUUGUGAUCAUAUGAUUAUACGUCUGAUCAUAAGGUUGCAGAAGAUCGCAUUGAAACUAGGGUUCAUUAGGGUGGGGUAUAGUCUUAUUGCAUUUAGUGUUAUGUAGUAUAUGAUUAGACCGUGAUCAUGUACUUAUAUAUGUUUGAUCAUAGGGUUGCUUAAUAUUGCAUUCCAACUAGGGUUUAUUGGGGUAAAGUAUAGUUUUAUUGCAUUUAGUGUGUACAGUAUGUAGUAUAUGAUUAGACAUGUGAUCAUAAAUGAUAUUUUUGUCCAAGGGAGUGAAUUGUUAUUAUCAGACCCGUGAUCAUAAAAACAUUGUCCUUUUAACUAAGUGGAAUAUUUUAAUCAAAGAAUUAUUUUGUAAGACCUUAUUUUAACUUUGUUAGGCCAAAAGGACACGGGUAGAAAUCUAUUACCCAAAAGAAGAAAUGGGUAGAUUUUAUGAGAAGGACAAUAAGAUUUUGGGGCUCAAGGACAAUCAACUCAGUCUAUUUGUUUUAUUUUUCUCAAAAUUCCAUUUAUACCCUUCUUCUUCUUCUUCUUCCCCUCUCUCUCAUUUAUGUUAUUGAAUUCCUUGUGAUGUUACAUCUAGUAAUGAAGAUGAGAAUGAUGAAGAUGAUCGAAGUUAAGUUCGAUGAUGAAGAUCGACGACGUUGAAAAUAACCCAAAAUAUUCAGAUAAGUAGAUUCAAAGAGAGAUGGGUGGAUCAAUUGAUUGUUACAAGCUAAAGAAAUUGGAGGGAGGGGGUUAUUUAUUUGAUUUGCUACGUUCUAUUAAAGAUAAAGAAAAUUAUUGAAUCUCAAUUGAAUGGGAAUCUGUCGAGCUUGGAUUUUUUUUUUUCUCUCUCUUUGUUUUGAUGGAUUAAUUGAUUAUAUAGGUAGAAAAUCAAGCCAUUUGAGGUUUGUUUUGUGAAAUUGUUGUUUUAUAUUGAUUAUCAUCAGAUUAUAUAAAGAAAUAACUUAUAUUUGUAAUAAUUCACUUAACAUUGUUUUAGAUACUGAUUGUAACAUGAUUAUGAUCAUAAUUGUGAUCAUAAUAAAUAAAUUUGAUUGUAAUAUGACUGUGAUCAGGAUAUUGAUCAUAAUAAAUAAAUUUGAUUAUAACCAUGAUUAUACACACUUUGUGUCUGUGAUUUAUGUGAUCACAAGUAUGAUCAUACUUGUGAUGAUAAAAUGUUUAUGUGAUUAUGAUUGUGAUCAUAAUAAAUAAAUAUGAUUAUAACCUCGAUUAUAACAAAUAAAUGUGAUUACACUCUUAUACAUUUAGGGUUUAGGGUCAUUAGAGGUAGGGUAUAGUUACAUUGCAUUAGGGUCGCGUAAGAUCACAUUAUGUAUAACUAGGGUUCAUUGGGGUAAAUGUGAUUAUACAUGUAAUCAUAUAAAUGUGAAUAUAAGAGGACUGUGAUCAAGAGUAUAAUGUGAUUAGAAGCAUGAUCAUACUCACUUGUAGAUGUGAUUUAUGUGAUUGGGAGUGUGAUCAUAGCAAUUGAAUGUGAUUAUAGAUUUGAUCAUACACUUUUGUACCCAUAUACAACUUCUUGAGCUUUUCCCAUGUUCCAUUGGCGCUAGUUUCUUCCAUCACAUUAAACAUCACCUCGUCCGAGAUAUGUAGUUCAAUGGAACUCAUGGCUUUGAGAUCUGCUUUGCUCCACUCGUCAUCCUACAUGUCCUUUGGUUUCUUGUCUUUCCCGUCAAAAACCACAUGAAGAUCUUGUUGGAUCAAAACGUUUAUCAUCUUCCUUUGCCAUAGUGUAAAGUUAUCUCUACCGUCAAACGGUUUAAUCUCAAUCUUUACACCACCGCCAAGAGUGGUAACCGAUAGUUUCUUAGCGUUGCUAUUCGUAGGAACACCUGUAAUCUCCGUAAUCUUUGACAAAACCUUAAAUCCAACCUAAGCUCUGAUACCACUUGUUGAACUAUAUGUAGUGAUUAAUUAAAUCCUAACAACCCGCAACCUAGAUAUUCAUAAGAACACCUCCUUUGCAAUACAUGAUCCGUUUGUCAAUGAAUUCGAAGAUUACGAAACAAUAAACAAUAGUAAAAGAAGAACAAAACAAUAAAGAACAAUAACACAAAAAUAUACGUGGUUCCGCAAUGCCUACCUCCACGGAUAACAAUGAGAAGAUUUCACUAUAAGAAAAUAAACUCCGAUUACAAUAAUCUCCCUAGUAUUUUUCUCAAGAUCUUAAUCUCUCACCUUAAACCCAAUACAUCCUUAGGCUCCCAAAAGUUCUCCUACCUUUGCUCUCUCUAUCUCUAUUAUUUUCUACCAUUGUUGUUUUAUCUUUACAGAACCAAGUUACUUGGGUAUUUAUUAACACCCGGAUAGAAAAGAGAUCCAUCUAGGACACGAAGUCAGAAAAAUCCUGCCCGUAAUGGUUUCCUAAACGAAGACUAGAUCUGAUCCUAUGGACCAUACCUAAUAUAAGGUAUGAUUUAGUGCACACCUGCACAUAUGGUGAGCCAAUAUUCAACAGCAGCAACAAUAAGUGUAUUUAAAAAUGGUGCGGUUUCGUGGCAGAUGAAUGGAAGAUGGCAGGUUCGUGUUGGUAAAGUCCAGCUACACUUCUCAUACUUGGAGGGAAGCGAACAUUCCACGGAUCAGGUUGCAGGUUCAAGGUUUCAACCCUUCGAGGAAGUUCACUGUAAUGGGCGACCAGACUGGUUAAAUCAAUUGAAUUUCCAUAUUUUGCUUACCUUUUUGAAAUCUCGCUUGGCUAGCUAAAAGAAGUAGAAAUAACUGGAAAGAAAAAAAGAAAGACAAAAUAAUCACCCAAGGAUUUACUAAGAACAAAUAUAUACAUUUUAAAGAAUUAUGUUUCCCUUUCUCAGCAAUAAUCUCAUUCUUCACUAAAGUGCCCUGAACAAAACUCCUUCUUAAACUCCAUCCAAAGUGUCUUCAUCCAUAAUAUAUGGGCUAUCAAGUGCAUCCGCACAUUCCUCGUAUUAUCUUAGGCGCUUUUACUGAUAGGUAGGGUUCAAUAUUGUCAUCAAUCAAACAAAUUUACCAUUCAGUUCAAUGUUCAUAUUCUGCCAUGGAAGAAAUCCAAAUGUUAAGACAAGAAGAAUUUGGGUUCGAACAAACUAAAUAUUGCUUAAGGAAAACAAAUUAACUGAAAAAACUUCUUGACUGAAUUGUUGAUCAGAAACGCAUUUAUUUUCUAAUUCGUUUCUUUGCUCUUGAGUGAAAUAUAUUAACAAAGCUAUUUUAUCUACAUCUUUUGACCUUUGCCUUUCUGUUGUCAGGCAAGAACAAGCAAUCAUUAUAUCACUAUCAUCCAUCUUUUACUUGGUUGCACAAUUUCUUGUAAAACAUGGAUAUGAAGAACCCUAGUAGACUACAAGGGGAAAGCUCAGUUUCAUUUGAUAUAUUAACAAGUGAGUUUGGACCAAAGUCAUAUUCAAAUGCUGAUCUUAUGAGGUUUACAUCAAAUUUUUCUAAUAAAAUUGGCUCUGGUGGGUAUGGAGAGGUUUAUAAAGGUCAUAUUCAAGACAAUGUCACUGUUGCUGUUAAGGUACUGGAAAACAAGGAUGUGGUGCGUGAGACAUUCGUGGCUGAAGUCAGUACAAUAAGCAAGGCUUCCCAUCGUUACAUAGUUAAACUACAUGGGUAUUGCUUUGAGCCCAACAUGAAAGCACUUGUGUAUGAAUAUAUGGAGAAUGGAUCUUUGGAUAAAAUUUUGUAUCAAAAUCCCCAUAGUAAUAUUGAGUGGGGAAAGUUAUAUGGUAUUGCAAUUCAGAUUGGAAAAGGGCUCGAUUAUUUGCACAAUGGUUGGGAUGAGCAGAUAAUUCACUAUGAUAUUAAAGCAGGGAAUGUGCUUCUUGACAGCAAGUUUUCAUCUAAAAUUGCAGAUUUUGGGUUAGCAAAGCUUAUGAAGAGGGAUGAAAGUCGUGUCCCCUUGACAAGAACUAGAGGGACUGUUGGCUAUAAUGCCCCAGAGACGUGGAUGCCAGGAUCAUAUGUAACUUUUAAAUGUGAUGUUUUCAGCUUUGGUAUGUUGUUGUUUGAAAUUUUAGGAAAAAGAAGUAACGGCAUGGAAGAAAAUUGGUUUCCCCAACAAGUUUGGGAGCAGUUUAAGAACGGAAAACUGGAAGUUAUAUUUAGAGAUUGUGGCAUUCUGGAUAAGGACAAAGAAAAGGCUAACAUACUAUCUAAGGUUGCAUUCUGGUGUGCGCAGGAUUCACCUGAACUAAGACCUUCCAUGACUGAUGUGGUCUUGAUGCUUGAGGAAAAAAUAUCAGUUGGGAAGCCUCCCAGCCCCCCCUUCGGAUGUUUGCAGCUCUCCAGUUGUUCAAUGGUACCAUUACUAAAGGUGAUUCCAGACGUCUGUUCAGAAGUCCCUCCUUCAAGGAAUGAAAGGUAACAUUAGAUACUCAUGUUGAUCUUGGCUUAGUAAGAAUUCAUACUCAUAUAUAAACAUAAACGUAUUUUUUCUUAUUUUUAAAAUCAUUUGUUUAUGAAUGGUAAGACUAACAAAGGUAACCCAUAUAUUUUCAGCUUAUUUGAGAAAAAGUGUGUUGGCAGAGAAGAGGACAAAAAUAACCAACAACUGUGCAAGAAGGUUGGUGGUGACGCUAGUUUGGUUUUUGGAGAAUGUAGCUCAAAGUCAGUGAUGGAAAGGACGACUCUUCUAAACAAAGCUAGUCAACUAUCAAAUGAAAAUCAAAUUUCACAGGUGCCAGAUAUCGGAAGGGAACUACAUGAAAGACUGAGAAGAGAAAAGGCAGCAAUGAUUGCGAAGGCAGAUGAUGUAAAGGCGAGGUUAUUCAGAGCAGAGACCGAAGAAGGAAAGGUGGCUACUAAUUCUGUGAAAAAUUGGUUGCAUUACGUCGAAGAUGUUGGGAAGAAGAUAAGUACUGCCAAUUCACAAUCAGAUCUUGGACAGAAUAUCUCCGGAUUAAUCACAGAGGUGACUGAGUUGACAGAAAAGGGUGAUCAAUUUUCAGGCGAGUCUUUAGCAUUAUUGCCACCUCAAAGGGGCCUGAAACUACCUGUGACGAGUCUAGUAGGUGAAACUACAGCUCUGAACUACUCAAAGAACGUUUGGGAUUGGUUAAUGAAUGAUCAGACACGAGUUAUUGGUAUGUAUGGGAUGGGGGGUGUAGGAAAAACCACCAUUGCCAUGAAUAUCUAUAAUCGACUCCUGGAAGAACAAAAUUGUUUCGGUCAAGUUAUUUGGGUUACUGUAUCCAAAGAUGCGAGUGUUGGCAAACUGCAAAAAGAUAUGGCAAAGGCGGUCAAUGUGAACUUAUCAUUGGAACAAGAUGAAUUGGAAGACUCAAAACUAUUGCUCCGAGCAUUGGAACAAAGAAAAAACGUUGCGAUUAUCAUGGAUGAUAUGUGGGAAAAUAUAUCUUUGUAUGCGAUAGGAAUUCCAAAACCCAGUAAGGAAAAUGGAUACAAACUAGUAGUGACUACUAGGUCGUUGGAAGUGUGCAAGCAGAUGAGAUGUCACCAAGAUAAUAUUGUAAGAGUAGAACCUCUGACGAAAGAGGAAGCGUGGGAGUUGUUUGUGGAUAAAGUUAAUGUUGAAUUUCUUCCAGAAGUCAGAACAAUUGCUGUGGAAGUUGUUAAGGAAUGUGCUGGUUUGCCCCUUGCAAUCAUCACAAUCGGUGGAGCAAUGACAGGAAACAAUGACCUUAGUGAGUGGAGACUUGCUUUGUCCAACUUGAGGGAUUCUAGCGAGCAGAACAUGGAUAGAGAAAACAAAGUGUAUAAAUGUUUGAAAUUCAGUUACGAUUGGCUUCCCAAUGAACAGUUCAGAAAAUGCUUCUUAUAUUGUGCAUUGUAUCCUGAAGAUUGGUAUAUUGAAACAAGCGAGUUGGUUGGUUUUUGGAUUCUGGAUGGGCUAAUUGAGGGGAGCAACAGACAACAUGAGCUUGACCAAGGUCAAUUAAUACUGAAUAAACUAACAAAUCAUUGCUUGCUAGAAAGUGAUACACGAUUUAAUGUUGGUAAUUGUGCACGAAUGCACGAUUUGAUUCGGGACAUGGCCCUUAGUAUCACAAGCAAGUGUUUCAUGGUUAAAGCUGGUGCAUUGUUGACAAGUUUGCCAAAUGAAAUCAAAUGGGGGGAAGAUCUUGAGAGGGCUUCUUUUAUGGAAAAUGAUAUAAAAGAGAUUUCAAUCAGUCCGAGAUGCCCUAAACUCUCAACAUUAUAUCUUCAAGAGAAUAUUUACUUGGAGAAUAUAGCAUGUGAUUUCUUUGUUAACAUGCAAGGUCUCAGGGUUCUUGACUUGCGUUAUAAUCAUCACAUAAAAUGGUUGCCAGAUUCGAUCUCUGACUUGGUGAAUCUCCGUGCUUUAUUCUUUAAUCGGUGUCAAAACUUGAAGAGAGUGCCAUCACUAGCUAAACUUGUACAAUUAAGAACGUUGGAACUUGAUGAUACUGACAUUACAGAGUUGCCUGAAGGGAUUGAAAUGUUGGUUAACCUUAGAUGCCUUAGUCUCACUAGGAUAAGUUUAAGAAAAACGAUUCCAAUGGGAUUAAUAUCCAAGUUAUCCAAACUCCAAGAGUUAUACCUUGAUGAGAUGGAGACAGAUAAAUUGUAUGUUGUAGGGAGUGGGACAUCUUUUGGUGAGGAAUUGUUAAGUUUGAAAGAGUUGGAAUAUCUUAAUAUAAGUUUCCAUUGCUUUUCUGACUAUUCUAGCUAUGUUGGAUCGCCCAAAUUCAAUGGGUUGAAACGUUUUACUUUGAUAGUUGGAGGUGGAGUGCCAGAAUUUUAUUUCGAGGAACCUUUUGAUUUAAAUAAGAUCAUAAUAUCAAUUGGAAUUGACUCCACUGAGAUUGACAUAUCAAUCGUUGAAAACACUGAAGUCCUUGAAGUUGUUGGUUUCAAAGGACCAAAUAUUGGUGUUUUUUCUUGCUUGAAGUAUUUGUACAUAUGUAAGUGUAAUAAUCUCAAAAAUGUGUUCUCAUCGUCUGGGUUGCUGCAGCUGCUCCAAAACCUUCAACAAAUUGUAGUCGCUGAUUGUGAUGAAUUAGAGGAGUUGAUAGAAGGAGGAGAUAACAAAAACACUGAAACACCCAUCACACUCCCUAAGUUAUGGCGUUUGAAAUUGGAAAAUCUACCGAAAUUGAAGAGCAUUUGGAGGGGCGUCCUGAUUUGUGACUCUCUUGACAGUGUUUCCGUACAAAAUUGUUCUGAAUUAAAGCGACUCCCUCAAUUUAAGGGAAAAGAGCAAUCUAUACUAUCACCAGCAUCUCUCAUAGAAAUCAUUGGAAGCACAGAAUGGUGGGAUUCCCUGGAAUGGGAUCCUGCAUAUCCCCAAAAUAUCCUUCAACCCUUCUUGAUAGAACUUCAAGGUAUGUAUGGAUUGAUUUAUCACUCCAAAUGUGUUCAAAUUUUUUUCUGUUUUCUUUUCAUUGUAAUAUAUUUUGAUUAAAUACUACCGAAAUUGAAGAGCAUAUGGAGGGGCGUGAUGAUUUGUGACUCUCUCGAAAAAGUUUGGGUACUUCCAAAUUGUUCUGAAUUAAAGAAGCUCCCUCAAUUUAAGGGAGAAGAUCAAUGAAUACAACCACCAGCAUCUCUGAAAGAAAUCCAUGGAACCAGAAAAUGGUGGGAUUCACUCGAGUGGGAUCCUGCCUAUCCCCAAAAUAUCCUUGAACCCUUCUUCGAUGAAGAAACGGAUCCUUAUCAAUCAGAAGCAGGUAUGUUGAAUAAACCAUUUUCUUCUUCCAAUGGUUUUUCUUAUUUGUUUCAAUGCACAUGACAUCAUUUUUUUUUGUUUGCUUGUUUUCUAUUCUUGAAUGCAUGUUGAAUAAACUCUCCAAUCGAAUCCUUUUCCUGUUAGAUGAAGAGGAGAGUUUUAAGUCAGAUUCAGAGAAGGUAGCUCACAAGAAACAGAGGUUAACAUCCCUGUCAGACAGAGGGGAGAGUUCCCAGUCAGGCUUGGAUGUACAUAAUAGGAUUGGUUGUUAUAAUUAUGAGGUAAACAUCCUUGUAUUUUUUUAAGAAAAAAAAUAUUAUCCAUUUUUCUUUUUUCUAUAAUACUGUAUACUCAUUUCAGACUAUGCAUAAUAUUGCCAUUCUUAAAAGACUUGUAUGCUGACAUUACUAUUAAAACUGUACAUCUCUCUCAAAAUGAGAAAAGCAACAGUCCUACUGUUCUUAGAACAUUGGACAAGCUGACAUAUCUGUAAAGUUUGAUAAUGCAAUACAUGUAUCCUGUAGUCAUCCUCUUACCAUCUUUUAUAUAUAUGGAUCUCCACAGAUGGAUAUAGGGAACCAAUACGAACAAGGGAUUGUGUUUGAACGGGCAAACCAUGGAGACAGUUCAGUUCCUGCACUUCAACCUUUCUUCAGUGAGGAUCCGGAUUAUGCAUCAGUACCCGGUGUGUAGAAUUAAAUAUUUUAUUAACAUUAGGAAUAGUCUCUCUGAAAAUGGAUUAUCAAACAGACGAGUUGUCCUUCCAAGUUUGAUCAAAUGCUUCCAUCUUUUCAUUUAUUUACUUUCCAGAAGGUGAUACACAUAAAUUUUAAUUGUUUGUCUAUAUUUUCUAUUGUUGAGUGCAUCUUUGUGCUAUCUGAUUUAUUAUUUUUUGGUUUUUAUUUAUCAUUCUCGGGAUCCUUUUCUUAUAUUCUUAUAUUCUUACCGUUCAAGUUUGAAAAAUGUAGCCAAUGUGACUUUUUGUCUAACGUUUUUUACUAAAAAUGAACUGCCAUAGAAUUAUCAAAGUUUAGAUAUAUUAGAAAGCAAUUUGAAAGUUAAACUAGAUUAUGUUUAUGUUUGUUUGAGUUUAUAUUCAGGGUGCUCCAAGCGUCCUUAGGGAAUAAAAUAUUGCACAUAUACAUCUUCUUAUUUCAAUUGUAGAAUAAUUAUCAUUCCAUGUUUGGGCAAAAGCUUCCAUCUUCUUCUUUCAAUUCUUUUUCUCAUUGCACGUAAACAUAAUCUUUUUUUUUUUUCCUUUUUCUGUUUUCUAUUCUUGAGUGAAUUUUCCUUGUAUCUGAUUUUGUGUUUUCAUUAAUGAUCUUUUUUUUUAUAGGUUUACAGUCCAAGUGGAAAAUUUUGUAACUUGUAAGAGAAAGGGGCUAACAUUCCGGUUAGAUGGAGAGGAAAGUUUUGAGUCAGAUUUAGAGGAGAGUUCCCAGUCAGAUGUAAAUAAAAUAUGCAAGAAAAGGGGCUAACUUUCAAGUUAGAUGGAUAGCAGAGUUUCGAGUCAGAUUCAGAGAAGGUAAGUCGCAACUGGCAUGAAAAAGAGGCUAACUUCCAAGUUAGAGCGAGGAGAGAGUUCCUAGUCUGAUGUGAAUGUGCAUAAGAAGGUUCGUUCUGGUUGAUUAGUAUGUUCUGCAAUUUGAAGUAGGUUUCCAUAGGGUUGCUAAACAACCUAAUUGAGAAGAAAAGAAAUAUGCAGUACUGUAAUUAUAUCUGGAAAAAAAGAGGGGGUGGGGGUGAGGGGAAUUACCCCUAUUUUCAAGGCUAGGUACCGUUAAACUAGGUCUGACUUAACAAUAAUCAGAACCUGUUCAGUACUACAAAAUACCUAUUCAGUAGCAAGAAUCAUAGCCAUAGGGCUCUUGACAACAACACAUGUAAUGUACGUGUCUGCUCUGCUUUCUUUUCUUUUCUUUUUUUUUUUAAUUUUUUCUUUCUUGUAGCUUAUUCUCAUUAAUUGCUUCAAUUCCUUUGUGUGCAUAUUCCUGCUAUCUGAUUUAUUUGUUCACAGUUUACUAGUAAUUGUUAUUUGUCAUUUAACAAAAUUCAGACUUUAAUGGAUGUCUUAAAAAUAAUUUGUACUAAAGCAUAUUAGGGAAAGUGCAACGUUUUGUUUGAGUUUAUCUUUAACACUGAGAAUUUUGAAAUUUUUGGAAAUAUAUCCAUUAACAUUUAAACUCUGUUAAUAAAUAUGAAAAUAUAAAUCAACCCAAUUGUGAGUGAAAAGAUGGAAGCAUUACAAUGAAUUAACGAAGAUUAAAUCAGAAUGCAAUUUGGAAAUUGAAGUAGAUUAUGUGAAGUUUUAUGUUUGUUUAAUAUGUGACUAUGUAGUUUAAACUCGGGGUUCUCCAGUGUGCUUUGGAAGGAAAAUGAUCCUCCUUCCAUCUUUUCACUCACAAUUGGGUCCAUUCCAGAUUCAUAUUUAUUAACAAAGUUCAGAUUUUAAUGGAUAUAUCAGAAAGUCUUAUGUUUUGUUUGAGUUUAUACAUACAACUAAAAAUGAUCCUCCAUUCCAUAUUUGCGCUAUUUUCUCCAACUCUCAUACCCCAUGUUUGCAUCAAACAACAGUCUGCUAUUGACUACUUGUACAAUGAUCGUCUUCCCAAAUUUCUAUUUUGAUUUGAUUUGUAUUUUCAAGGACAUUUGUGGUCAUGUUACGUGAUGUUUUACAACUUGCGACUGUCAUUAACUAGGCCCAAAUUAUUCUUUCAUGCAGGGGAGCUUUCUUUGUCGGCCAUAAAUGUACAUAAUGAAAUUAUUUGUGAUUAUUGCAAGGUAACAUCCAUCUUGUAACUUUCUUUUCCCUACAUGAGUAAAGUCUACUCACUUCAAUCCACACAAGAUAAAGCACCCAAUGGAUCCUUCUAUUCGUUAUAUAUUUUCUGCCAAUGGAUCUUGUGUUCUUGUUCUACUGGUUUAAAGUUAUUGAAUGAUAAAAUUGGUUUUGAAAAUCUAAACUAGCUCUUUUUGGUAACUGUUCAUUUUAUAUUGUUGACUCAAAGGGAGAUGGCAUUGGGAUUCCAAUAUUUCAACAUUAAGCAAAUAUGAGUUUGUAAAGUUUCCAGCCAUGCAGUACUAUCAUGUUGCUUGUAUGUAUCUUUUAGUCAUGUUCUCAAGUCUUACCACCUAAAUGGCUAUCUCGACAGAUGAGUCCAAUGGUCGGUAUAAUUGCAAACACUGUCAUGAAGAAAAUGUCAUCACUGAGGGAGGUGUGAGUUUUGAUUUGUGUGAAGAGUAUUAUCAUACUUGCUUUAAGCAUUGAGAUCUUGCCAAUUAGCAUCACACACAAGGGCAUGCAUUUGAACUUGUUACAUCCUGUGGAGCCAGUCCAGUUCCUAUAUAUCCUGAUGAUACUUCAGAGGAUGCAGAAGAUGGUCUUGUGGCUGUGAGUUCCCAGUCAGAUGGAGAAGAUGAAGAAGAAUUGAAUUUCAAUGUAUUCUUCUCAUUGUAGAGGUAUGUAUUUAUAUAUAAUUGUCUUGCAAACUAAGUAAUAGAAGUUAAUAAGUAAAUCGAAUCAUAGAAAUAUAUUACAUAUUAAACAUGUGUUAAACACUAAGAAUGUUCCUUUACAGAAGAGAGUUCCAGUGUGACGGAGAAGAAAGUUUUCAGUCAAACGUCAAUGUAACUCACAAGUGAAGGAGGCUAUGUGAGUCAGAUGGAGUAGAGAGUUCCCAGUCAGAUGUAAAUGUAAUUCAGAAGAGGAGGAGGCUAUAUUAUCAGUCAGGUGGAGAGGAGCUCCCUUUCAGACCUAAAUCUACAUAAUCGAGUUAUUUGUUAUAAUUCUUAGGUAAAAUCCUUCUUUUUAUAUUAUAUUAAAACGAUAUUCUAGAAAGUUCAAUCCAUAUAAGAUAAAGUUGCCAGUGGUUUGUUCAGCUUGAUAAUUGUGUUCUGCAAAUGGAUCUUGUGUACUUGUUUUACUCCUGCAACCAUUUAGAUCUUGCCAAUCAGCAUCAUCU
This 83119-nucleotide long non-coding RNA is filed under the name Aquilegia coerulea. RNAcentral describes it as "long non-coding RNA (ACOE_LNC002254)". The record is from RNAcentral. Lineage: Eukaryota; Viridiplantae; Streptophyta; Magnoliopsida; Ranunculales; Ranunculaceae.